RNAcentral lists this long non-coding RNA (68603 nucleotides) under Nicotiana benthamiana. RNAcentral's name for it is "long non-coding RNA (NBEN_LNC009907)". Lineage: Eukaryota; Viridiplantae; Streptophyta; Magnoliopsida; Solanales; Solanaceae. The record is from RNAcentral.
UAUUACACAACACAGCUAUUUCAGGAAACCUUCCUCCGCUAUUUUUGAAAACUUCUCACCAUAAUAUUAUCAUUAUUAUUUCUUUCAAAAACUUUCAUAACUUUUCAAAUCUCUCUCUCUCUAUCCGGUCGUCACGCGUCCAUCGGAGUAAAAGCCCUAGCAAUUUCUACACAUCAAAACUUUUCAAAUCGCUCUCUCUAUCCGGUCGUCACGCGUCCAUCGGAGUAAAAACCCUAGCAAUUUCUACACAUAUUCUCACCGUUUUUACUUCCCUUUGACUCAGAUCCUCACUCAUUCUUUACGUGAAUCUAGGGUUUUUCACUUUUCAACUCCAAUCUGCGACGAUCGCGUUGCGUGUUUUCUGUUUUGAUUUUUGAAGACAGUAAAAAUGGAGGCGAUCGAGGAAUUGGCACAACUAUCAGAUUCGAUGAAGCAAGCUGCGGCUUUGCUUGCCGACGAAGAUGUGGAUGAAACUUCUUCCAAACGGUCGUCCACUUUUCUCAAUGUCGUUGCUAUCGGUGGCACUGUAAGUUAUUUAAGUGAUUAGAUUUGCUAGUUGGUGCGUGCUGAUUCGAUCUGUGAAACUUGCUUUUUUGUGAUUCGUAUUACACUCCGACGAUCUAGGGUUGAAUUAAAACAAUUGGAGUUCAGCUAAGAGUUAGUUGAUAAUAAACUCGAAAAGAAGUAUUUGUGGUAGUUGAGAUUACAAUCUUUUCGAGGGAAAUUUUACUAUUAGUUGACUAGUGGUGGAUCUAAUGUAUGAAGUUGAUAUUCUCUGUAUUUUGUUAGCCUUUUUUGUGUUUUGUUUCGAUUUGGUUUUGUAGAUGCUUGCUUCAGUUUAUUGUCAGCGAAUGUUGCAUUGAAUAAGCUGAAAUUAUUCAAUAUUAAGGUGACUGGCUAUUUCUCUUAAAAAAAUCCUUUCAUAGUUAUUGUAUCAAAGAUGUACAUAUGUCUCCAGAUAGUUUCUAACUAUCCUCUGUGUGAAGCAAAAAUGGAGAAUUGGUUCAGCCGUAAGUUGCUCGGAUUCUUCACUUGGGUGCCGCACCCGACACGAUGCGGGUGUGAUUGUGGAAUUCGUACCGGAUCUGGUCAAGUGAUUUUGGUGCGGAGAAAUUUGGGACAUAUACAAUGAUUUUUGAAAUCAAAGUAAAAGCUAGGGUUAAAUUGAAGAAAAUGUAAUACUUUGUAUAUAGAAAUUUCUAUGCCAGGCAUUUUAUUUUUAUCUCAUUCUUGGAUUUUCCUUUUGAUCAGUAUUUUCUCUUUCUCGGAAUAUCUUGUAAAAUUUUCGCAUACAAUAACAACAACAACCCGGUAUAAUCCCACUUGGUGGGGUCUGGGGAGGGUAGUGUGUACGCAGACUUUACCCCUACUCUUGGGUAGAGAGGUUAUUUCCAAAUAGACCCCGGACAUCCUUCCCUCCAAGAACUUCCCACCUUGCUCUUGGGGAGANNNNNNNNNNNNNNNNNNNNNNNNNNNNNNNNNNNNNNNNNNNNNAAGAACUUCCCACCUUGCUCUUGGGGAGAUUCGAACUCACAACCUCUCGGUUGGAAGUGGGGUUGCUUACCAUCAGAGCAACCCUUCUUGUCAUAAAAUUUUCGCAUAAUGUCGCAUAAUUUAGACAUAGUUUCAAACUUUAUUUUUGGAUAUUUGAAUUAGUUUUAGGCGAAUUGUUGCCCCCGUAUCCAUACCCCAAAUCUUAAAGUUUAAAUCAAGAAAGAUCCGACCUCUAGAUUUACACACAUGUAUCGGACACCCUUACCCGAGUCCGAGCAACUUAGGUUCAGCCUGUUAAAGGGUGUACAAUUAGCUGGAGCAUAUAUUUUGAGUAAUGUCUACCUUUCUAAUGUUUUAUACAGAGUUGCUACCUAAAAGCAAUUAUUCUAUCACAUAAAGCGACAAUGUGAUGCGAGUUCAGUAGUUGCAGAGCUGGGAAUUUUUAUUAUGGGAUUAAAACAAUGUAAAAAUGUCAUAGCAUAGGUAAUUAUGAGCCAUGAAGAUUUAUAUAUGAAGUUCAAGGAAAAGUGGAGGCGAAGAAGGCGGCGUUUGCUUAGUUGGCAGGGAGCACAAGCGAGGAAGAACGGAGAGCGAACAACGAGAUCUACAAGGUGGCGAGGAAAGAAGCAAAGCUGGCGAUUACGGAAGCUAAAAAAGCGGCGUUUGGUCGCAUGCACGAGGAAUUAGGGGAGAAAGACGGGGACAUGAAGUUAUUCCGGUUAGCUAAAGCAAGAGAAAGGAAGGCGCGUGAUCUUGACCAAGUUAGGUGCAUCAAGGGCGAGGAUGACAGAGUUCUGAUGGGGGAGUCUCAAGCCAAGCAGAGGUGGCAGGCGUACUUCCGAGACUUACUUAACGAGAAGGGGAUUGUAACAUAGAGCUAGGGGAGUUGGGGCAUUCAGAGCAGCAUAGAGACCUUGGGUACUGCCGGCGCAUUAGGGCGGAGGAGGUCAUGGGGGCUUUGCGUAGGAUGAGUAGGGGUCGAGCGACCGGCCUGACGAGAUCCCAGUGGAGUUCUGAAAAUGCAUGGGUAGGUUAGGAGUGGAGUGUCUCUCCAGGUUGUUUAAUGCGAUCUUCAGGACCAAAAGGAUGCCGGAGGAGUGGAGUGGAGGUGGACUACAGUGGUGCCCUUAGACAAGAACAAAGGGGACAUCCAGUGUUGCAACAACUAUAGGGGUAUCAAAUUAAUAAGUCAUACCAUGAAGGUCUAGGAGCGGGUGAUCGAGGUGAGGGUGUGGGAGAUGACAUCUACAUUUGUGAACAGGUUCAAUUUCAUGCCGGGUCGCUCCACUGCAGAAGCUAUCCACCUUGUCAGGAGGCUGGUGAAGCAGUUCAGGGAUAAGAAGAAGGACCUGCACAUGGUGCUUAUCGACUUGGAGAAGGCGUAUGACAAGGUCCCAAGGGAGGUGCUUGGAGGCGAAGAGCNNNNNNNNNNNNNNNNNNNNNNNNNNNNNNNNNNNNNNNNNNNNNNNNNNNNNNNNNNNNNNNNNNNNNNNNNNNNNNNNNNNNNNNNNNNNNNNNNNNNNNNNNNNNNNNNNNNNNNNNNNNNNNNNNNNNNNNNNNNNNNNNNNNNNNNNNNNNNNNNNNNNNNNNNNNNNNNNNNNNNNNNNNNNNNNNNNNNNNNNNNNNNNNNNNNNNNNNNNNNNNNNNNNNNNNNNNNNNNNNNNNNNNNNNNNNNNNNNNNNNNNNNNNNNNNNNNNNNNNNNNNNNNNNNNNNNNNNNNNNNNNNNNNNNNNNNNNNNNNNNNNNNNNNNNNNNNNNNNNNNNNNNNNNNNNNNNNNNNNNNNNNNNNNNNNNNNNNNNNNNNNNNNNNNNNNNNNNNNNNNNNNNNNNNNNNNNNNNNNNNNNNNNNNNNNNNNNNNNNNNNNNNNNNNNNNNNNNNNNNNNNNNNNNNNNNNNNNNNNNNNNNNNNNNNNNNNNNNNNNNNNNNNNNNNNNNNNNNNNNNNNNNNNNNNNNNNNNNNNNNNNNNNNNNNNNNNNNNNNNNNNNNNNNNNNNNNNNNNNNNNNNNNNNNNNNNNNNNNNNNNNNNNNNNNNNNNNNNNNNNNNNNNNNNNNNNNNNNNNNNNNNNNNNNNNNNNNNNNNNNNNNNNNNNNNNNNNNNNNNNNNNNNNNNNNNNNNNNNNNNNNNNNNNNNNNNNNNNNNNNNNNNNNNNNNNNNNNNNNNNNNNNNNNNNNNNNNNNNNNNNNNNNNNNNNNNNNNNNNNNNNNNNNNNNNNNNNNNNNNNNNNNNNNNNNNNNNNNNNNNNNNNNNNNNNNNNNNNNNNNNNNNNNNNNNNNNNNNNNNNNNNNNNNNNNNNNNNNNNNNNNNNNNNNNNNNNNNNNNNNNNNNNNNNNNNNNNNNNNNNNNNNNNNNNNNNNNNNNNNNNNNNNNNNNNNNNNNNNNNNNNNNNNNNNNNNNNNNNNNNNNNNNNNNNNNNNNNNNNNNNNNNNNNNNNNNNNNNNNNNNNNNNNNNNNNNNNNNNNNNNNNNNNNNNNNNNNNNNNNNNNNNNNNNNNNNNNNNNNNNNNNNNNNNNNNNNNNNNNNNNNNNNNNNNNNNNNNNNNNNNNNNNNNNNNNNNNNNNNNNNNNNNNNNNNNNNNNNNNNNNNNNNNNNNNNNNNNNNNNNNNNNNNNNNNNNNNNNNNNNNNNNNNNNNNNNNNNNNNNNNNNNNNNNNNNNNNNNNNNNNNNNNNNNNNNNNNNNNNNNNNNNNNNNNNNNNNNNNNNNNNNNNNNNNNNNNNNNNNNNNNNNNNNNNNNNNNNNNNNNNNNNNNNNNNNNNNNNNNNNNNNNNNNNNNNGCCUCUCUGUCCUUUCGGGUAGGGGUAAGACCCGUCUACAUAUUACCCUCCCCAGACCCCACUUUGUGGGACUAUACUGGGUAGUUGUUGUUGUUGAAGAUUUAUAUGAACAUCAUUUGAUCCCAUUUAUUUGAACAUCAUUGAUCCCAUUUCUAGAGAUGGAAAAAAUGGUGAGACUUCAUAAAAUUUGGUAGAACCUCUUGGUAUUACCAUUGUUUCAGUGCCUUUCAUCAUAAUAUAUGUUCACUUAUACCUCAAUUUAUAAAAGCAGAAGAAAAAAAUUAAUUAGUGCUGAAUGGAACUUAUACAUUGUUUCAUGGCUUAUUUCAUUCAAUCAAUUUAGAAGAUAUUUUGGAUAAUUUCUAGAGAAUGUUGAUAGGUAUAAAUUAUUCUUGACUUGGCAAUGCAUACUCUUUUGAACUGCUUGUCUAGAGCAUUAGUAAUUUGAUUGAGUUGUGAGAUUGACGAUGUGGAUGAUACUAUUGAAUGUCUGUUCAUUAAAAGAAAGUCUUUUUUGUGACAGGGAUAUGACUGUCUGUUUAGCUGCAUGGUCUUGUUUAUUGUGAACUUUUGUGCAUGAGGUGUUAAUACACAAAUUGCUCUGUCAAUUGUUGUGAAGAUAUUGAUGCAUUAAGCUGUGCAAACUUUUUACAGGGGGCAGGUAAAUCAGCUGUACUUAACAGUCUAGUUGGACAUCCAGCUCUGGUAUGGUUUUCUCGCUGUGCAAUUGGAAUGCUAUUGUUCACAUCUUAUUUUUCCUGGUGAACUCUUAAUCCCAAGUUUCCAAAUCGUAGUGCUUUUGAUGCCUAAUACGAUCCUUAUAUUCGCAGCCAACAGGUGAAGGUGGUGCUACUCGUGCCCCCAUAUGCAUCGAUCUAAAACGAGAUAGUUCGUUGAGCACUAAGUCAAUUGUUUUGCAGAUCGACAGUAAAUCACAGCCAGUGUCUGCAAGUAAGUUUCUUAGAGAUCUCGUGGGUUUAUGAGGAAUGCUAGUCUUUUACAUGAAUGAAAAGCUGAUCCCUGAAGCAAGAGAAUGGAUAAUCUACCAGUUCUUGUGUCUAAUAAAUAGAUUAACAUUUUUUGUUUUAUCGGUGCAGGUGCUCUUCGACAUUCUUUACAGGAUAGACUUAGCAAAAUUUCAAGCAAAAGUCGUGAUGAAAUAUAUUUGAAGCUACGAACAAGCACGGGUUAGAAACUUAACACUUGUAAAGCUACCUAUAAUGGGUUCCUGGCUUUCCUAAGAGACUUAAUUGGAGACACUUGUAAACCUACCUAUACUGGGUUCCUGGCUUUCCUUUGAUUUACCUUUUCUUUUUACUGCAUACAGCCCCACCAUUGAAGCUGAUUGAUUUGCCUGGGGUUGACAAGGGAAACCUUGAUGAUUCAUUGGUGAGUAUUUAUACAAAUAUGAUGGUCAAAUUUGUCAGAUACCGUAGACGUCAUUUUUACCGAGAUAUCUUUUGAAACAGACUGAAUAUGUUGAGCACAAUGAUGCCAUAUUGCUGGUCGUAAUAUCUGCUGCUCAGGCACCUGAAGUUGCUUCAUGUAAAGCUAUCAGAAUUGCGAAGGAGUAUGAUAGUGAAUGUAGGUCUAUAUCUCCCAGAAUGUUUUAUGUCUUCCAGAGAUAAGAAAGAGUGAAAUGGGCAUUUUCUAUUUGUAGCUGCUCAUCCAUAAUCACACUGUCUGUUAAUUAUAUGAAACGCUACACAUGUUUGCUUAUUUCUGUUCCAUUAGGUACCAGAACAGUCGGUGUUAUUAGCAAGAUAGAUCAAGCAGCUUCAGAGCCAAAAGUGCUUGCGGCUGUUCAAGCUCUUUUGUCCGGUCAAGGACCACGAAGUACAGCUGAUAUCCCCUGGGUUGCCUUGAUUGGUCAAUCUGUUUCAAUAGCUUCUGCCCAGUCUGGAAGUGUUGGGUCUGAUAACUCAUUGGAGACUGCAUGGCGAGCUGAGAGUGAAAGUUUAAAAUCUAUUUUGACAGGAGCUCCUCAAAGUAAGCUUGGUAGGUUAGCAUUGGUCGAGACCCUUGCUCACCAGAUACGCAAUAGAAUGAAAGUCAGACUUCCAAAUCUGCUUUCUGGGUAAUCUCACCUGCUUGAAUGCCUCUACUGUUUUUUCAUAUGAAGAUCUAACUAUCCAUUUCACUUUUUCUUUAUCAGCACAAGCUAUUGAUUGUGAAAAAUUGGUGUUAAAUCUCUUUGUUUUAGCUACACCAUAGUUUCGAAUCAAACCAAUUCUAUCUUAAAUUAGAAUUUGUCUAAUUUGGAAGUAAAAUUAUCUUUAUCAUUUUCGAGGUACUGCAAAUCAUACUCUUAUUGUUAUUUCUAAAGCUGGAAAAAACUGUUAUGCUAAUAGGGAAGUGCUUGAAAAGUUAAGGCGAGCCACUUAAUUUUUGAGCAAUCAGGAAAUAAGGUGAUAGCGAGUAUCUGUUGGUAGUGUGAGUUGAUUUUCAGAGAAGAAUAAGAUAGCUCUUUUAAGAAAGAUCUGGAUUAUUUACAUUGUCAAAUAAAAUAGAGAAUUUAGGUUUUCUUAAUUACCUUCCUACUAAUAUUUGAUAUGAUUGGUGACACAAUGCCCUUUACAAGAUUUUUAUUUUUAUAAUUUUUUAGGAAAACUAUCAAAGUGAUUGGAUUUGUCCCAAUUCCUCCAUCCGUAUAAUGCCAUUAUUAAUUAAACUUUCUCUCUCGAAUAUGGGUGAAUAUUGGUGUUUUCUGAUCGUUAUGCUUACUUAUAUCAUGUAUCGACCCUUUCUUUUUCCUUAAUUGAUGUCAAGUUGUCAACUGAUGACUCUUAGAUGCUUUAAAGAUCGAUUUAGUUCUGGACAGAAGAUCAAGGUGGACUGUAUAUUUUUUCACUUUCGGUGUAUAGAAGCCCUUGUAGAAGAUGCGAAGUCUAUAGCUGACAUCAUUGUGGGCCUUGUAACCACCACACGUUUUUGUUCUUUUUUGGGGCUCUUGUAACUUUAUUUUCUUUUACCACAAUCUUUGUGAAUAAUGCUACUUUAACUUUUUUGUAAAAUAUGUUACCUUCUCAAAAAAAAAUUGUGUGCCAUCUAUUUAUUCAUACUUGCGAGUUCGCUCCUGCAGGCUUCAGGGGAAGUCUCAAGUUGUACAGGAUGAGUUGGUUAGGCUUGGGGAGCAAAUGGUUAAUAGUGCUGAAGGUACCAAAGCCUUGGCACUUGAGCUUUGCCGUGAAUUUGAGGAUAAGUUUCUGCUGCAUAUCACUGGCGGCGAGGUGGGUAAAAUAUAAGAGAACUCUUAAUUUUUUUAUUCAGUCUUUGCAAUUGCAAUACCCAAUAUUUUGAUACUACUUUUUGGUUGUAGAUUCUUUUAUUCAGUCUUUGGAAUUGCAAAUACCCAAUAUUUUGAUACUACUUUUUGGUUGUAGAUUCUCGUUGUUUGGCAACUAGCUUGUAUUUAUGAAGGUUUACCUGCAAAGAAAUUUGGUAUACCCUUACUGAGAAAAGUACAGUGCUUGUAUUAUUCAAUAUAUUGUGCUUAUCAAGACUGUUGAAAAUUGUGUACCUAAUGCGCACAGUUCAAGAAUAUAUGAACACGCCGAGGAAUGUCAGGAUUAUCCAUAUAGAUUUACUGUUUGGAUUAAGAAAAUCCUCUUUGGUAGAUAUGAUAGCGAUGUCCAUGCUCCAAUUAUAAUUUUUUGCAUGUAAUUUUUGAGUUCUCUUUUUUUCUGUUUGUCUCUUUGUGUAAUUAUUUUCUUCAUCUCUUAAAUACCUAAAUCAAUCUGCUUCCUACGCUGUUGCUCAUCCUAUGUUUUCUAUGUGCUGCAUUAUCUGUCAUAUAUGGACUUUGUUUAACGUACUAUGUGUCCUACGUAACCCAUACACAGCAUGAUUUGGGCUAUAGGGUGUCUUUUUUUGACUAAUCAUGAUGUAGGGUGUCUUUUUGUCUUUUUCAUGCUCCAAUUGUAAUUUUUUACAUGUAAUUUUUGACUUCUCUUUUUUUUUUUUUCUGUUUGUCUCUUUGUGUAAUUAUUUUCUUAAUCUCUUAAAUACCUAAAUCAAUCUGCUUCCUACGCUGUUGCUCAUCCUAUGUUUUCUAUGUGCUGCAUUAUCUGUCAUAUAUGGACUUUGUUUAAUGUACUAUGUUGUCCUGCGUUACCCAUACACAUCAUGACUUGCGUGGUAGGGUGUCUUUUUUGACUUAGCCCCCNNNNNNNNNNNNNNNCCCCCCCCCAAACCAAAAAAGAUAAACAAGGAAAGAAAAGAGUUGUCCCUUUGAUAUAUAUGUUACAAUACAUCUGUUAUAUAGUUAGGGUUCUUAAAUUCUUCAUCAUGCAUUCAGAUUUUAGAGAUUUUUCGUUUCCUUCAGGGUGAAGGAUGGAAAGUGGUUACAAGUUUCGAGGGGAACUUCCCUAAUAGGAUAAAGCAGCUCCCCUUAGAUAGACAUUUUGACAUAAACAAUGUCAAGCGGGUAUUUAUUUUCCACCAAUGUACUUUUCAAUUAUGUGCAUUUUCUCCUAUACCGCCGACUGCAAGUUUUCUCUUUGUUUAUUUGGUAAUUGUUUUUGCUUGCCACCAGAUUGUGUUAGAAGCCGAUGGUUAUCAGCCUUACCUGAUUUCUCCCGAGAAAGGGUUGAGGUCUUUGAUAAAAGGUGUCCUGGAGCUUGCAAAAGAACCUUCACGUCUUUGUGUUGAUGAGGUAAAUUCUAGUUAUUUCAGCUCUUGGUUUUGGUUUAGUCAUUUGUUUUUUGUUCAUUGUUCUUCAUGUGCAUUGUAUCCUUCUGUAAAUCUAUGUGGAUUUGCUUCAAUGCAUUCUGUUAAUAAAUUAACUCAUUAGUUUAGAUACAUAAUCACCAAAAAUUAUAAAAGGUACCACGCACUACAUUAAAGAGCCUCUAACUUUUAUCAUUAUGCAGUAUGAAUGAGUCUCAAACCGUAUAUUCGCCCGGAAGAAGUGGCAACGUCUUUUUCUUCUUUGCCUUUUGGAGUUGUCCUGAUGUUUUAUGUUUUUACUUUGUGAGUUUGGUUUUUUUAUAACCGUGGUUUCGAGACAAGUUUGCUUGCUCCUUGCGAAUAAUUACACGAGAUACAUUCUACCUCCCACUAGUAAUAGAUAAGAGGUAACUCUGUCCACCAAGUCUCGGACAGAUGGAUGUGAUCAGAUUGUGUUUUUGCCUACACUAGAAUUUUAACGUGAAACCUUAUAGUUUUCAACCCACUUCAUUAGCCAUUAGGCCACACCAUUGGGUGCCUGUGAGCUUGGGAUAUUAACAUUGUAAUUUAUUAUUUUAAAUUAAAUGAAAAUAACAAUAAGUGAGGCUUGAUAAGAAGGAUUUUCAAGUACCUUGGGUAUGUAAUCAAGGUAGUGAGGAGAGUGAGGAUGAUGUCACACAUCGUAUUGGAGCGGGAUGGUUGAAAUGGAGGCUUGCAUCUGGUGUUUUGCGGUUGGUCUUGUAGGUUUCAUCCUUGGCUUUUAUGAGAGUUGAUGGUGUGGAGUAUGGAAACCUAGAAAGUGAUGUGGUUUCAAGAGUUAUGGAAGAAGUUGAGUGUUUUCUCCAAGGAAGGUUGAGCAUGGAAGUUUAAUUAAGCAAUUUGUUGGAUUAUUGUUCGACGGGGCUAUGAGAUGGGAGAAAUGGUGCCUAGUUGAUCUUUAUUGUGCAUAGUUUGGGUUUCUGGCGUAAUUUGACGUGGAUGGUAUUAAAAGUGAUACUUUUUGAGUGUUUUUUUUGCUUUUUCCUUGUGUGGUAGUGGCUUUGAUCAUAGAGGUGAAACAGAAGACAAAUAUGGAAGGAUAGCUCUAGGCUUUGGAUCGACAAUGAACGUAGUGGUUCAUGUAGUUGAUGGGUGAACUUGGAAGUGGUAAAGGAAGAUGGUAACUGAAUUUUCCAAAGCAUACGACACCUUUCUGUAUUGUGAAUAGUCAAUGAGAGGUGGUUGUGCAAUCCAUCUGCUUCUCUUACAGCUGGUUUGGAUGGUUGUUGCCCGUUGUAUCGUAUUUUAUUGCUAUCCCAAAGCAAUGUUUGUUUUGAUUGUUUAUUUAAAAUUGAUUGUAUCGUAUUGUUAAAUCUAUUAUUCUGGAACAACCAAAAGCCUCAUUUUAUGAAACAACCGAUUUGGUGUGGUGGAAUCGUUUCCUAUAUUAUUUUUCAGUUACGCCCCUACUUAUUACUCCAUAAUUCUAUUUAUCCUUACCAUUUUUCUAUUUUAACUCCAAAUCUCCAACCUAUUGACCUGCAUUGUCUUCUUCCAUCUUUUCUAGAGUUGGUUUGCCCCAUUCUUUUUAUCCAAGUCUCUGUUUGAUUCUGUCUCUUUCCAUCGUUUUAAUUCUUUUUGUUGCUAAUUAUUACUCCCUUCGUUUCAUAUUAAAUGAGGUAGUUUGAAUCAACACAGAGUUUAAGAAAAAAGAAGAAGACUUUUGAAACUUGUGGUCUUAAAAGCUUAAGGGGUAAAAAGUUUGUAGGGCCAUGACAUUUGUUUGGCUAAAAGAGCUUCUCAUUAAGGGUAAACGAGUAAAAUAAAAGAGUUUAAAGUUGAAUUAUUUUCAAAUUUAGAAAUGUGUCAUUUAUUUUGGAAUAGACUAAAAAAGAAAGUACCUCAUUUAAUAUGAAACGGAGGGAGUAGUUAACUUUUUUUCAGGUUUUUGCUAUUGUUUCCAAGCUACACAAUUAAUGAUAAAUUAAUAGAAAUAGGUUUUCUUAAAUUAUUUUUAUGUGUAAUUUUUGGUAAAUUUUAUUUAAAACAAUUACGGUUAUUUUAGUAAAUUUAUCAGCUACAAUACAAUAUGAUACAAUCAAAUUAAACAACAAAUGAUACAAUUUAUUCAAACGUUGUAUCCAUAAGACGGUACGAUACAAUAGAGUACAAUACAAUACAUUAUAAAACGAUGGUUAACAAUGAUCCAAACAUAGUGUUAAGGGAUGAUGACUUGUGAGAGCCAAGCCGUCAAGAACUCUGAAUUCUCAAAAAGUUUUUAUCUGCCUGUUGGUACAUGGUGGGAAUAGGAUGCCAAGGGGCCGAUGAAAGAAGAUGGUGUUUUACGAGUGCGACUUCUUUGUGACUAUCCAAAAAAGAAAGUGGUUCUCUUUGAAUUUGGGCUUGUAGCUCUAUGAAGACGCAUGGCAUUGUGUUCUUUGGAAGGAAAGGUAUAGGAGAGCCUUGAAGGGUUAAAAAGCACUUUGUACAUUAGAGGAAUAGCCUCAUGAUUUUGGUGCACCCACAAGGUUCCUGUUAGUAUAGUUGAUUGGAUGUCUUUCAUAGAUAACUACAAUCUUUGUGGUUUCUCUAUUUUUCGGCACACUGCUAGUAUAUGGGAACAUUUCCCAAAUCUAUAAAAUUAUUACUGUCAAAAAUAUUUGGGCUCUUCACUGUUGAGUUCCAUCUCUAAUAUAUUUCUCUAUUUUGCUAUCCAAAAAAGAGAAAGAAAAAUGAAAAAAAAUGAAGCAGUUUUCUAUGCAGUUUUGUUCUAAUUCUAACUCUCUAUGUGAAACCUCUACAUAGGUGCACCGUGUACUUGUUGAUCUUGUCUCCUCUGCUGCAAAUGCCACACCUGGACUUGGACGAUAUCCUCCUUUCAAGAGAGAGGUAAUGAUGUUUAGCAACUCCAGAUUCUCCUUUCUAGUUUUUAUGAACACAUACAAAUGUUUGUGGCAGCUAUGACGACUUUCAAUGAAAAUAUUUACUCGGUUAUACUAGGUUGUAGCAAUUGCUUCUGCUGCAUUGGAUGGGUUUAAAACUGAUGCCAAGAAAAUGGUAGUUGCCCUUGUCGACAUGGAGCGAGCUUUUGUCCCUCCUCAACACUUUAUCCGCUUGGUGCAGAGGAGGUAUGUUUGAUGAUUGUCUGAGAAUUUAAUACUUGUUUUCAUUUCUUAUAGUACCCCUAUCAAAUACUUUUAUAGCAUGUCUGCAUGUAAUUUGUUAAUAUUUCAUCAUGUUGGUCCCUGUUAGAUGAUUGGUCCCUGUAUCUUAAGCUUAUUGUUUUGUGAUACCAGAGUUCAUGAUGAUCUAUGAGAUUGUACUGUUGUUGACAUAGAUAUUGUAAUAUCGGGAAAAUUGAUUGCAAUAAGCAGGAAAUAUAAUGCACUUUUGGUGUAGCUAAUAGAGUUGGAAUUCUGAAAUAACUUUGAAUGUUGUGGCUUCAAUGGUUGAACACAUGCUUGUGUUCUUUUUUUGUUCACUUUCAUUAUCUUUUUGGUGCUCAAUUAUUGGAUGUGGUUGAUACUGCACUUCACUUGUUUAGAGGUUCUUGUUUCAUGCAAAGCAAAGCUUUAAAUCUCGCUAUGACAAAUGCUAAGUGGAGACAUAAGAAUGCAUAUCCUCCAUUUAUAAUAACCAUCUGUGAACCUCCUUCAAUCACAAGCAGCAAUGUAUCCUCCCGGGGAUGCACAGGCCCUCGGCAAGGAGUUUCCCGCAAGUGCACCACGGUUAAUUUAGGUUUUACGUAGUCCAAUGGCUCUCAGAAAUUGUUUGCACCCAAUGAGUUUCGAACUUGGGACUUUGAAAGGGAGCAAACCCCAAGGCUCAAGUCAAUUGCGACCAGGCCAACCCCCGAGGGUUGCAAUGUAUCCUUUUCUUCUGGAAAAAAAUCUCUCUCUCUGCUUCUACUCCCUUUUGCUUUCUGUAUAUGCCAGCUCAAUGAGCCACAUGGGCCAGUAUGAAGACGUGCAAAACAUGUUGGUGUUAGUUCUUUGUAGCUACUAAUAGUUUUUAUAUGGCCAAAUCCUGAUGCACAAAUUAUAUUGCAUGUCUAAAUGUGAGCGGAAAAAUUGAAAGAAGUACAAUUAAUCUUUUUUAUUUAUUUAUUUUUGCAUCUUUACGGAUUAUUUGAGGUCAAUCUUUUCAUGGCACUGCUUUUCUUCCCAGGGAUCAUUUGCUUUGCUUUUCUUGGGUUCUUUUACUCAGUGUAGAGAGAUAACAUUGGGGAAAUAAAGAUGGUUGCUUCCAGUGUUCUUUCCUAAAAAUAUGUUCUUCUUUUCUUAAAAUUGCUGUAUUUGUUGGUUGGGUUACUGACAAGUAUAGCAGGUAAAAACAUACUCAUGUUUAACAAAAUUAAAGCAUUCUCACAACGUCUAUGCGGCUCUUUUCCAGAAUGGACAGACAGAGACGAGAAGAUGAGCUAAAAAAUCGGGGUUCGAAGAAGGCACAUGAAUCAGAGCAAGCAAUAUUGAAUAGGGUAAUCUAGAUUCUUUUUGGAUGAGCUAAAGAAUCGGGGUUCGAAGAAGGCACAUGAAUCAGAGCAAGCAAUAUUGAAUAGGGUAAUCAAGUUUCUUUUUCCCAAACGCUUAAGACUAUUAUCUCAUUCAACUCAUUAUGAUGUUUUGCAAAGCAUUGCCUUAGGAACUUUACCUUUUUAUUCUUUUAAAUUAGUUUGUCUUCUCCGUAUGCAUUUCUAUGUUCUGCAAUUUUUCACUUAAGCUUAUUAGUUGUCUUCUCUGUACUGUCUUCUAAGUGUCUUUAAUUAUUGAUUUAGGCAACUAGUCCUCAAACUGGAGCCCAGCAAGGUGGAGGAAGCUUGAAAUCUAUGAAAGAAAAACCCAGCCAGCAGGACAAGGAUGCAUCAGAAGGCUCGGCUUUGAAAACAGCAGGGCCUGAGGGAGAAAUUACAGCUGGUAUCCAUUUCUUUAAAUAUAUUUCAUGUUUUAGGAAGUUUGUUUCCUGUGUUCCCUUUUAGAUGAGAGUUAUCAUUAGUAUGAAUCAAAUAUAUUUCCUGUUUUAGGAAUUUUGUUUCCUGUGUUCCCUUUUAGAUGAGAGUUAUCAUUAGUAUGAAUUUGCAUACCUGGAGGCAAAGCCUAAAUACAAUACAUGUCGUAGUGUCACAUUUCUUUUGGUGUGAGUUCACCAUGUCUGUGUGUGGAGAGCUCGCAAGUAUAUUCAGCAAAUCAAUGGGGAUGUUUGUGCAUUCUGUUCUUUUUGAAAUUGUUGUUUGACCAGCUGCCAAGGUCAAAGGUGGAUCAAUUCUAUAUUCUCCCGGUCGAUUUUCUCGGAACGUGUAACAUUUGUUUCUUUAAUAGGUUAAAACAUGGUUUUGAUACCAUUAGAAGCAGUAAUAUGUAGUAAUCUUGAAAAAUUGGUGGUAAUUGAUCCUUGCUUGUCUUCUAAUUACCUUUAGUUUAAAACUGUUAUUUAUCAAUAGCUUUUGUAACUGCCAGGUUUCUUAUUGAAGAGAAGUGCCAAAACAAAUGGGUGGAGUAAGCGAUGGUUUGUUUUGAAUGAGAAAACCGGAAAGGUUAGUAGGUGACACUCAGCAAUUUUUUACAUGAAUAGAUAUAACUUGGCCUUCUACUACCAACUUGAUAUAAACUAUCGACAUUGUAACAUAAUGUUAUACCUAAAGGCUUGUCAAAAUCUACAUCCUUUAACUGCAAAGACAAGUGUGGUGAAUUUUGGGAUUUUUCUCUUUUAUAAAAAAACAUAUUAAAAAACCUCAUCAAUAAUUUUGGAUUUUCUCAUUCACCAUAAGAAACUUAACCUAAAAAGCAGGAACAUUUACACGAGGCAUUAACUUUGUCGCUAUAGUGUUUCCUUUUAGAGCGUUUUAGUCAUAUUGGUUAUUCUCUUAAAGAAAAUUUGAACCCGGAGUUAAUUUCUGUGCGAACUAUGCUUAAAGUUUUGGUGACACCUCUAAUGUGAAAUCUCUUUUCAGCUUGGAUACACGAAGAAACAAGAAGAACGCCAUUUUCGUGGUGUCAUAACGUUGGAGGUACGUUAUGUCUUUGAUUUGCAAUAUGGGUUAUGGUUAUGGCUUAAACUUAAAUAUAUCCUUUGGCUUUUUCUUAAAUGCAAAUUAUAUUAUUUUGAACGUGGGCAUAACCAUAGAGAAUCUGCCAGAAAUACACGCACAAAAUUAUGAAUAGGCAAGGCCAUUAUGGAUACUCGAACAAAUUAGUGAUAAACAAGACCAUUUUUGAGUUCUAUCAUGAUUCUUCACUCCUUUCCCUUGGCUAUGGUUCACAUUCAAAAGUUUGUUGAUUUUCUUUCCAGUGGGGUUAAUGAAACAGCAUAUUCUCGAACUCCGUUUGCCUUAAGAUUCUUUUUUAAAGCUCUUCUCUGUUCCUUAAUUGCUUUGCUUUUUGUUUGAAUUCAUUAAACAAAAACCUCUCAUAAUUUGCUUCCAUAUUUAAGCUCAUCAAAGUUUCUCACAGUGCCACAUUCAGCGUCCCAAAUAGGCACUCUUUAAGGUCUGCAACAUUGACUCUUUCUAGACUAUCUCCAUUUUCAUGACCUAAUUGUCAGUGAUUGAAGUUGGUUUGCUUACUGCAGUCUUUGUUCACUGUAAUUUGAUGGACCAUACACUAUGAUUUGGCAUCACACUUAGUAAUUUGGCAGAAACCCCUAGCAUCAUUUUUACCACUGUUUUGGGUUACAUAGUCUUGUCCCCUAAUGCUUAUGCUGCUUCUAUAUAAAAGGCUAGUAUAUCGAACCCCUACUAGUUUUACUACAAUAACAUGGUCAUGUGAUACACAGGAAUGUAAUCUUGAAGAAGUUCCUGAUGAAGAAGAAGCUCCAGCACCUGCCAAAAGUUCCAAGGACAAAAAGGCAAAUGGGCCUGAUGUUGCAAAAGCACCCAAUCUUGUGUUUAAAAUAACGAGCCGGGUUCCAUAUAAAACAGUUUUAAAGGGUAUGCUAUCUCUGGAAUCCUUUGCUAUCUCCCUGUUUGUUUUGUUAUUUUGAAUAACUCAGAAGAAAAAAUAUAAUUGGUUGCAGCACACAGCGCUGUUAUCUUGAAGGCCGAGAGUGUGGCAGAUAAAAUGGAGUGGUUAAGUAAAUUGAGAACUGUCAUCAGCUCUAAAGGCGGUCAAGUUAAGGGUGAAUCUGGGCCACCUAUCCGACAUAGUCUUUCAGAUGGAUCUCUUGUAAGAAACUAUACAUUGAUUUCACUUGUGCUUCCAAAAAAGGGCCCUUGUUCAGCAAAGAUGUUGAUUUCACUUGUGCUUCCCCAAAAGGGCCCUUGUUCAGCAAAUAAUUAUCCUUUGCUUAUAAAACUUUUUCCUUGUGAUCUUCAUGUUUGUUUUUGUACUCUUCUGAUAGUUGUAUUUCAAGUCUCCUGUUGUGGUUUUCUUAAGCUGUGAACUAAUUUCCCCGACCACUUGGUUUUAGUUUAUUAAUUUUGCUGUGUUUUAGGAAACAAUGACUAGAAGACCGGUGGAUCCUGAAGAAGAACUUCGAUGGAUGGCUCAGGAAGUGCGUGGUUAUGUUGAAGCUGUUCUAAACAGUCUUGCAGCCAAUGUGCCAAAAGUCGGUCUUAAUCUUGCAUGCCCUGUACACUUCUCCUUGUUCAUUCGUGUAAAGCCAUCUCACAUGGUGCAUUGUUUAUUUGGUUUCAGGCAGUUGUUCUCUGCCAAGUAGAGAAGGCCAAAGAAGACAUGCUUACUAAAUUGUAUAGUUCUAUCAGGUAAACAGUCCAAAUUUUCCGUGCGGUUUUGUGUCUCAGCAUCUUUCAUCUGCUGUGGCAUGUUGUAUUUGCUUGUCUGACAGUAAGGAUGCAGUGGCAAAUGAUCGGGAUUUUGUUUCUCAACAUCUUUCAUCUGCUGUGGCAUGUUGUAUUUGCUUGUCUGACAGUAAGGAUGCAGUUGCAAAUGGUGACCACUUGGAACUGUGCUUUUCUUCAGCAAUUUGAACAGCCAUCUUUCUAAAAAAUUAUCAAAAGCUACAUAGAACUUAUCUCCUAUUUCAAUACGAAUUUUUCCUUUUAAUCUGUUACGCCACACAGCAAAGUUUCUAUUCUUUUUUUAAUAAAUUGGUAGAAGGAAAUAUAGACUUUCCUUUUGGCCAACAAGAGGAGUGGUAACAUGGAAACCUGCAGUUGCUGCAAGAACCUGUGUAUUAAACCAUCAUUCUUAGAGACCAUUUUUGUUUGUUUCUUCUGCGUUUAUUAUAUUGAGAAGUUCAUCUUGUCGGUAUUCGCCUGGGUAAGUGUGUUGAUAUUGUUUUGACUUGUUGGAUUUUAGUGCCCAAAGCACUGCAAAGAUUGAAGAGCUGCUCCAGGAGGACCAGAAUGUAAAACGAAGGAGAGAGCGCAUCCAGAAACAAUCUUCUCUUCUUUCUAAGCUUACUAGACAGCUCAGUAUCCAUGACAAUAGAGCAGCUGCUGCUGCCAGUUACGCAAAUGGUGAAGCAGGUAAUCAUCCCUUAUAGGUUGCUCAUUUGUUUUCCUUGUCUGAGGACAAUUGAAGUCCCACAAGUUUUAUUUGUUUUAUUACUUUGUUUGGGUUUGAGUGAAAAUGUUAAUUAUCUGUUAAAUUAGUUGAAACAAACUUCCCAUGUACUUUUGAAAGCAUUAUGCUUCUUAAAGUAUUUCUAUGAUUGCUGAUAGGUCUUAGUAGCUAAUACUUCAUGUUCAGCUAAUUUCCUUUUAGUUCCUGGCCAGCUUUAUGUGUCUUCCUUGUCUGGAUUCUGUUACACUCAAACUGCAAUCAAAGACUCUUUGCAGCAUGAUUUGGGUUAAAUUGAUGCCGGUGGUUAAUAGCACCACCUCUUUUUUUCCUCUACCUGAAACCCGUGGAUGCCAUAUCGGGUGUUGGCUUAUUCUUUCAUUUCUGCAGGUUUUGAUUUGUGAAAGACCAUAUUCUUGUCUUGUUGAGGUCUUUUAGAUUUUGCACUUUUCAAAUUCAUAUUGUGCGCUUUAUUUCUGCAGAAAAUAGCCCAACAGCAUCAGGCCCGUCAUCUGGUGAUGAUUGGAGAUCUGCAUUUGAUGCUGCUGCAAAUGGCCCUUCUAGUCUCUCUAGGUAUGGGUCAGGUGUUAGCAGUCGCCGCUACAGUGAGGCUGCUGAAAAUGGUAAUGCAAAUACACGCUCGAGUUCUGCUGGCCGUCGCACCCCUAACAGGUUGCCGCCUGGCCCACCGCAGUCUGGAUCUGGUUAUAGAUCAUAAAUUAGGUAAUUUUGAGAAGAUUGAUUCUUAUAUAUUCUUGUUAGGGGUGGUUGCUUGUUCAUGUUCUUCACGGUGAGCUCCUUUCGAUUUCGAGCAUGUUAUACUAGUAGAAUUGGUAUACACAUCUUUGUAGAUAGAUGUCGCAAUUAAAUGUCAUCCUCCCCGUCUUUUUGUCCUGGUUGCUGGAGUUUGAAUUAUUACAAACAAUGAUUUUAUUGAAUUUUUUUUUCCUCGGACAUUUUCUUCUGUAUUUCAAAUGUAUUGGUCGCUACUGUAUGUAAUUUUUCCAUAUAGUAAUGAAGAAAGUAUAUUGCUUUCUUUUUGUGCCAUCUGACUAACGUAACAUCUUCCUGCCCUUCCUUGGCAAUACCUAUAUUUAUUCCUAGAAAUUUUAUUAGUCCCAAAGUUCCCGCUUGUUGAUCUCGCCUCAUAGUGCAGCUGUAUAUUAUUUCAAUGAGCACUGAAUCUGACACAUGCUUUUCAAACAUUAGUUGGGUAUCGAUAUUCAAUACUGUUGAAAAUGGUAUUCAGUGUGUUUAUGAAAAACCUAUUAAAUUACCCGUGAAAAGUUACCAGUAACUCUGGAGUGUUCACUGAAAAUUUGGUUACUCUUAGACUUGAUAUUGGAAGUGUCCUGGCAGAAUGUCACGCUAAACUGAAAUACACAUCAAAGGUAAAAUGAUUGGAGCACGUAUUUUCUUAAACAACUUUGUAACAAGAUGAAAAUUAGUCUUGCAAUUUCAAGACUAAUCUACUUGAAAAUUUUGUUGUACAAAAUGAACCUUAUGCUGUAUAGAUGUUUUUCGACAGAGCACCUUAGUCCAAAACUUAGAGUAUUACGCGAUUUGUUUUGUUGAAAACUAAAAUAACAUGAGGCAAUUGAACCUAAACCAUAAUGAGGCUAACAAACUGAAAACACUAUCUCAGAAUUAGAAAAACAUACAGAUUUAAAUUGAAUAUGAUAAAGAUAUUGAUUUAUUUCAAUACAUUAGAAUGCUUGGCUACUUGGGAUAUUGUCUGGCAAUUGGUUUAAUUAAGUUUAUUUUGGCGUACUACCAUAUUCUGCGUUGUCACCAGCAAUAGUCAUUUUAAAUUUCGACUUUGGAUACCAAAUAAAUGACUACCUUAAUUGGGGUUUUGAGCAUAAAGAUAUCAUUGACCUAUAAAAAGUGGGCCUGGCCCUUGGGAAUGCAGUAAACAUUUAAGAACUUAUUUCACCGAAUGUACUCCCCUCUGGAUGUAGGAAUAGCAACAUGAGCAAAAUGUCCUAUCCAAGCCAAAAAACUUACGCCAAAGGGACAAAUGAUGAGUCAGACAAGAUUCGGUAGUUUUGAACCAGGAAAUGCUCGGUUUCCAUUGCGGUUGUAGGUGUAACCAACUUGCUAUUAAGGAAAUGGUAGAAAGAAAUAAUAGGAAAAGAGCACCAGUACAAAGAUCUUCAUUAGUGCAUUAGUGCGUAAGCCGAUUGUAUACCACCAUUGAUAAACACCAGAAUAAGGGAUAUUCACUUGGCCAAGAGCAUCCCCUAGAGUAAAAGCUUUCACGGUCAAUUGACCAAAAUGAGGAUACCAAAUUGCAUGAGCAACGAGUCUUACAUGUAAAGGGUCCUGUACCCAUGACUCAAAAUCUUUACCAAGCUACAUGAAACAAAUUUCCAGAAGUCCACAUACGACACUACAAACCACUAAGUUAUUAGCGAACUCAAAAUAAUGGUAUAAAUUACACGACAUAAUUACUUUGUUUUUAGAGCAAUGACGCGGAAAGAAAAGGAGAUGAAACAAAAGAUUUCAGGAUGAAAAUUUCUGAAGGAAUGACUGCUUAUUUAUAGCCAACAAAUUUCUGGAUUGAAAAGGUGUGAACGUGACUGUUCACACUGUAGUUGGCUAUUCGUGAAAUGCAGCCUUUCUUUGGUGGCUAUCUAAUUCACGCGAGAAUAUUUGAAUAGAAUUUAAGACGCAAACUAAUUAAUUUAUCGUUACAAAUAAUGGUCAUUCAAAAUAUUAAUAUAAAAUAUUAAUAUCUAAUUAAUUAAUUUCAUUUUAUUGGUCCAAAAAAUUAAGUCAAUAUAUCGUAUCAAUUGACCGAAGCCGAAGCCGAGCGAGCGACGACGAUGGCGGUGCGAGGCCCCUUCCUCUUAGCUCCUUUUUAGAGCUUAAGGAAGUGGUUCUAUAUUUAAACCCAACAAAAUACUUGUCUUUAACCAUUGAGGGACAAAGUGUAAAAGUUAAAGUUGCCUUUUCACCUUCUUUCCUCAUUUCCCAUUCACACUACCACUUCAACACCAACAAUCCCCACAUGAAUGAGGAAUGAUGAACGUGCACUCACAUGAAUGGGGAAUGAUGAACGUGCAUGAAAAUUUUGUGUGAUUCGCAAUUAAGGACUAAUUGCAUCGGGAUAAGUAGGUUUUCCUUUGAACUAACACUAGUGAACAUAUAUCGGAUAUACUCGAUCAAUCGGUGGUUUUGAUAUCUUUGAACUGCCGAGCUUUAGUGUAUACCUAGACAAUAUAUGUCACACAAUUAAUCCUUAUCCAUCUUUUGGUUCUCAUUGAUGUGUUCGUUUUAGUCAUGAAUAUCAUCUGGUUUCAUAAAUGCAUAGAGAAUUGGCCUUACAACAUUCUCCUUGAAGCGGCUUACACUUCAUACUUAUAUAGGUAAUUCCUAAACGUGUUAUCCCCUAGAUGCACUAUUUGCUAUACCCUUUAUCAAACUUAAAAAUCAUUAAGAAGUCCUAACGCUUUAUCCUUGAUACUGAAUAUUGUCUGCAUCACGAGAAUGAACCAAAAUUUUAUUUGACAAUAUUAAACCGUCACUAAUGAUUUUCUUUGAUAUCCUUGAACCUAGAUCUUGGGAUCUUCAGUAUUCUACGUAGAAUUACCACCACAAUGACUUGUCCUUGGCCAUAGUCCCACUCCCUUUGAUGACUUCUCAACUGCCUCUCUAGGUAUGCCUUAUGUAAGUGGACCGAUACUUUAUCUUUUGACUUUACAUAUUCAAUUGAGAUAAUUCCACUAGAGAGUAGUUGUCUAACAGUAUUAUGCCUUCGUCGAAUGUGACAAGAUUUUUCGUUAUACAUAAUGCUCCCAGCACUUUCUAUUGCUGCUUGACUAUCACAAUAUACGCAUACAAGUGCCAAAAGGUUUGGGCCAAAAAAGGAAUGCCUUCUAAGAAAUUGCAGAGCCCCUCAACUUCUUCACCGACCUUGUCUAAAGCUAUAAACUCAGACUUUAUUGUAGAGCGAGCGGUUCAUCUAUGUUUGGACGACUUCCAAGACACUGCUCCUCCACCAAUGGUAAAAACGUAUCCACUUGUGGAUUUUCUUUUCGUUGAUCUGGUGAUCCAAUAUGCAUCACUAUAUCCUUCAAUAACUGAGGGAUAAUUAUUGUAAUGCAAUGCUUGUGUAUCGACUAAGCUUUCUUAUUGUACAAGUUAUAUCAGGUUGUGUACAAUUCAUAUGUACAUCAAACUUCCCAACGCUCGAGCAUAUUCCAAUCGAUAUUUGCUUUAACCUUUAUUCUUUACAAGAAUAUGGUUUAAAUCAAUUGGCGUUUUUGCUUCUUUAAAGUCCAAACAUUUGAACUUUUCUAGAACCAUUUUAAUAUAAUGAGAUUGAGACAAAGCUUGACCUUGAGGAGUCUGCAGGAUCUUAAUUCCUAAAAUUAAAUCGGCAACUCCUAAAUCACUUUUUUAUAGAAUGAGAUUGAGACAAAGCUAGACCUUGAGGAGUAUGUAGGAUCUUAAUUCCCAAAAUUAAAUCGGUAACUCUUAAGUCAUUCAUAACAAACUUACUAGUAAGCAUGCACUUAGUAGCAUUUUGUUAGCAAUGUCAUUACUCAUUAUCAACAUAUCAACCACAUAUAUAUGAACAAUGACUAUUUUAUUUGGAGUAUUUUUUAAUGUAAACACAUUUGUCACACUCAUUGAUCUUGAAACCAUUUGACAACAUUGUUUGGUCAAAUUUUGCAUGUCAUUAUUUUGGUGCUUGUUUUAGUCCGCAAAGUGAAUUAUCAAGUCGACACACCUUUUUUUCUUUUACAAGAACUGUUUUGGUGCUUGUUUUAGUCCGUAAAGUGACUUAACAAGCCGACAAACCUUCUUAUCUUUAUCAGGAACUACAAACCCUUAAGGUUGUUCCAUAUAGAUUUCUUCCUCUAAAUCCCCAUUUAAGAAACCCGUCUUUAAUUCCAUCUGAUGGAUUUGAAGGCCAUACACAGCGGCUAACGCUAUUAACACCCGGAUAGAUGUAAUCCUUGUUACCAGUGAGUAUGUGCCAAAGUAAUCAAGACCUUCUCGUCGUCUAAACCCUUUAACAACUAAUCUUGCCUUAUAUUUGUCAAUAGUACCAUCGACUUUCAUUUUCCUUUUGAAAAUCCACUUAGAACCCAAAUGUUUGUUUCCCGGAGGAAGAUCGACCAAUUCCCAAGUAUGAUUACUUAAUAUGGAUUCUAUCUCACUAUUGAUUGCCUAUUUCCAAUAUUGUGCUUCCGAGGAAUACAUUGCUUCUUUGAACGUUUGAGGCUCAUUUUUCAAUAAAAAGGCCAGAAAAUCUGGUCCAAAAGAAGUAGCUGUCCUUUGACAUUUACUACGUAUUGGAUUUUCCUCAUCAGACGUACUUUCCUUUGAUUCUUCCUGAGGUCUUUUAGAUUUUUCAUUAGAUGACUCACAUUCCACUUUAUAUGGAUAAAUACUCUCAAAAAAUUCAGCAUUAUCCGAUUAAAUUGUCAUAAUAAUAUGAAUGUCGGAACUUUUUAAUUUAUGAACCAGAAACCGAUAUGCCUUACUAUUUGUUUCAUAUCCGAAGAAAACAAAAUCAAUGGUUUAUGGACUAGUUUAUAUCCUUUUGGGUUUAGGAACCUGCACUUUAGCCAAACAUCCCCACACUUUAAGAUAUUUUAAAUUGAGUUUCCUUCAUUUCCAUUUUUCAUAUGGAAUGGAUUGUGUUUUGCUAUGGGGAACUCGAUUCAGUAAUUGAUUAGCUGUAAGAAUAGCUUCCCCCACAAGUUUUGAGGCAAACCAGAACUUAUUAAUAAGGCGUUCAUCAUCUCCUUUAAUGUUCUAUUCUUUCUUUCUCCAUUAGAUUGUGGUGGAUAAGGGCAGUUGUUUGGUGAAAAAUGCAACUUUCCAAACAUAUUUUUUCAAAAGGAGAUUCAUAUUUGCCGCCUCUAUCACUUCUUAUCAUUUUGAUCUUUUUGUUUAAUUGUGUUUCAACUUCAUUUUUGUACUGCUUGAAUGUGUCUAUUGCUUCAUCUUUACUAUUAUGUAAGUAAAUAUUGCAAUAUCUUGCACUGUCGUCAACGAAAGUUAUGUCAUACUUUUUCCCACCGCGAGAUGGUAUUGACUUCAUGUCGCAAAUAUCCGUGUGAAUUUAGUCUAAAGGAUUUGAAUUCCUUUCAACUGGCUUAUACAGAUGCUCAACAUACUUUGAUUCCACACAUAUUUGACAUUUCGAGUUAUUGCAUUCAUACUUAUGUAAUACUUCCAAAUUAAUCAUUUUUCGCAAAGUUUUGAAGUUGACGUGGCCUAAAUAUUCAUGCCAUAAAUUAUUUGACUCAAGCAAGUAAGAAGAAGCUGAAAUUUUAUUCAUAUCAAUAGCAAUUACAUUGAGCUUAAAAAUGCCCUCAGUCAGGUAACCUUUUCCUACAUACAUUUCAUUUUUACUAACUACAGCCUUAUUAGAAAAAAAAAACACACUUAAAGCCAUUCUUGAUUAGAAGUGAUGUCGAGACUAAAUUCUUCCGCAUUUCAUGAACAUGAAGAACAACUUUUAGAAUCACAAUCUUUUUCGAAGUCAUAUUCAAAGCCACUUUGCCUGUUCCUUCAGUUUUUGCAGUAGCAGAGUUAGCCAUAAACACUGUGUCGUUGGGUCCAACGGGAGAAUAAGAAGAAAACAACUCCUUGUUAGCACAAACAUGUCGAGUUGCUCUUGAAUCAAUCCACCAUUCUCUAGGAUUUCCGACUAGGUUGCAUUCCGAAAACAUGGCACAUAGGUCAUCUAUUUCAUCAUUCUUCUCUAUCAUGUUUGCUUGAAUUUUCUUCUAGUCCUUCUUUGGUGCAGGACAUUUAAUAGUCUUGUGUCCAACCGUUCCACAGUUGUGUCAAUUGCCUUUGAACCUCUUCUUGCUUGGAUAAUUCUUUGAUACUGACGACUUCUUUUGUUUUUCUACUCGUUGAAGCUCCCUCAACAAUAUUUGCACCCAUUAUAGUUGAAUUUCCAUGGGAUUUCUUUUCAGCAGCCUUGUUGUCCUCUUUAAUCCGUAGACGAACAAUAAGGUCUUCAAGCGUCAUCUCCUUGUGCUUAUGUUUCAAGUAAUUCUUUAAGUCCUUCCAUAGAGGAAGCAGCUUUAAAAUAAAUGCCGCAACUUGAAACACUUCAUUUAUGACCAUACCUUCAAUCCUAAAUAUAUAAUUAGUACAAUAAUUAAUAACUUGAAUAAAAAUAUUGACUCGUCUUAUACAUUUAGCAAGGAUGUCAUGAACAAUAACUUGCAAUCCGUGGACUUGCGUUAUGACAGAUUUACCGUCAAUCAUUUUUAAAUCCAGAAAUUUGGCGGCCACAAACUUUUUUACUCCAACAUCUUCGGUCUUGUACUUCUUUUCAAGAGCAUUACAUAUUUCUCUUGAUGUUUUCAUGACGCUAUGAACGUUGUACAAGCCAUCUUUCAGGCCACUUAAAAUGUAAUUUUUGCACAAGAAAUCAGAGUGCUUCCAAGCCUCAGUAACAAGGAAGCGCUCGUUGUCAGGGGUUCCUUCAGGCACGACUGGCACAUCUUUUGAAUGAACCUUUGUAGACUUAGAGUGGUAAAAUUAAAGAACAUCUUUUGCUGCCAUCUUUUAAAGUCAACACCAGAAAAUUUCCCCAGCUUUUCCGCUGGUGGCUUAGCUGUUGUAAGUGCAAUAAGACGACUAGGACCUGGUAUCCCAGAAAUUGUGUUAGCAGUAAUAGUCAUAGUAGGAUCAAUUUGUUCCUCUCCGUUAGACAUUUCUAUCAAUAUGACACAAACAAAUAUAGUAAAUGGUGAAGUAUUUAACCCUUCAACCAAAGACUAACACAUUGAAGAGAUUAUUCUUCAAACUGGUUUUAACAGAGUGAAGAGAUUAUUCUUACAAACUGAUUAGGAGUAGAAAACAACAAAGGUUUUAGUCUCCUCAGUCACUUCAAAAUCAGAAUAGCAAGGAUAAAUAAUCAAUAAGAUUCUCUAAGCUUGUUAGAUAUUCUGAAAUUUAUAAGUGACUAAAACAGAAAAAUAAAUGUACAUAAUGAACAAAAAUUUAUAGAUUUAUGUCCCUAGACCACAAUUUCCUUGUGUGUCCUUAAAGAAUAUUAUCCCUUCACUGUUGCCCAAGAUUAACGGAUAAACUCUUCUUAGGAUAGAACGGAACUUCCACCUUAGUAGAGGCACUACAAACCACUAACUUAUCAGCAAUCUCAAAAUAAUGGUGUAAAUCACACGACAGACUUACUUUGUUUUUAAAGAAAUGAUGCAGAAAGAAGAAGGAGAUGAAGCAGAAGAUUUUAAGAUGAAAAUUUCUGUAGGAAUGGCUGCUUGUGAAAGUGGCUGUUCAUACUCAGGUGCUAUUCGUGAAAUGUAGCCUUUCUUUGAUGCCUGUUUAAUUAACAUGGGAAUAUUUUGAUAAAAUUAAAUAUGCAAAUUAAUUAAUUUAUCGUUACAAAUAAUGGUCACUCAUAAUAUUAAUAUAAGAUAUUAGUGUUUAAUUAAUUAAUUUUAUUUUAUUGGUCCAAAAAAUUAAGUCAAUCAAUCAUAUCAAUUGACUGAAUUUGAAUCCGAAGCCGAACCCCAAGCCUAGCCGAGCGCGCGACGACAACAACGACACGAGGCCCCUUUCUCUUAGCUCCUUUUAAGAGUUUAGGGAAGUGGUUCUAUAUUUAAACCCAACAAAAUAUUUGUCUUUAACCAAUGAGGGACAAAGUGCAAAAGCCAAAGUAGCCUUUUCAACUUCUUCACUCAUUUCCCAUUCACACUACCACUUCAACUCUAACAAUCCCCCACAUGAAUGAGGAAUGAUGAACAUGGAUGAAAUUUUGUGUGAUUCGCAACUAAGGACUAAUUACAUCAGGAUAAGUAGGUUCCCCUUUGAUCUUUCUGCAGUGAACAUAUAUUGAAUAUACUCGGUCAAUUGAUAGAUUUGAUAUCUUUGAACCGUCGAGCUUUAGUGUAUACCUAGACAACAUAUGUCACACAAUUAAUCCUUAUCCAUCUUUUGGUUCUUAUUGUUGUGUUCAUUUAGCCAUGAACACCGCCUGGUUUCAUAUGUGCGUAAAGAAUUAGCCUAACAACAUUCUCCUUAAAGCGUCUUAUACUUCACACUUAUAUAGGUGAUUCCUAAAUAUGUUAUCCCGUAUGUAAACUAUUUGAUAUACCCUAUAUCAAACUUAGAAAUCAUUAAAAAUUCCUAACCUUUUAUCCUUGGUACUGAACAUUGUCUGUAUCACGAGAAUGGACCAAAAUUUUAUUUAACAAUGUUGAACUGUCACUAAUGACUUUGUUUGAUCUCCUUGAACCUAGAUCUUGGGAUCUCCAGUGUUCUAGGUACAGUUACCGCUAUAGUGACUUGUCCUUGGCCAUAGUCCCAAUCCCUUUGAUGACUUCUCAAUUGCCUCUCUAGGUAGGCCUUUUGUAAGCAGAUCCGAUACAUUAUCUUUUGACUUUACAUAGUAAAUUGUGAUAAUUCCACUAGAGAGUAGUUGUCUAACAGUAUUAUGCCUUCAUCAAAUGUGACGAGAUUUCUCGUUAUACAUAACGCUCCCAGCCCUUCCUAUUGUGUCUUGACUAUCGCAAUGUAUGCAUACAGGUGCCAAAGGUUUGGGCCAAAAAGGGAAUGUCUUCUAAGAAAUUCCAAAGCCAUUCAUCUUAUUCAGCGGCCUUUUCUAAAUCUAUAAAGUCGGACUCCAUUGUAGAGCGAGCGAUGCAUGUCUGUUUGGACGACUUCCAAGACACUGCUACUCUACCAAUGGUAAAAACAUAUCCACUUGUGAAUUUUGUUUCCGUUGGUUUGGUUAUCCAAUUUGCAUCAUUAUAUCCCUCAAUAACUGAGGGAUAAUUAUUGUAAUACAAUGCAUAAUCUUGAAUAUAUUUCAAAUAUCCCAAAACUCGUUUUAUUGCUAUCCCAAGAGCAUGGUUGGGAUUACUUGUAUAUCGACUAAGCUUGCUUAUUGCACAAGCUAUAUCGGGUCGUGUAUAAUUCAUAAUGUACAUCAAACUUCCCAACACUCGAGCAUAUUCCAAUCGAGAUUUGCUUUCACCUUUAAUGUAAACACAUUUGUCACACUCAUUGAUCUUGAAAUCAUUUGACAACAUUGUUUGGUCAAAUUUCGCAUGCCAUUGUCUUAGUGCAUGUUUUAGUCCGUAAUGUGACUUAACAAGUCGACAAACCUUCUUUUCUUUUCCGGGAACUACAAACCUUUCAGGUUGUUCCAUAUAGCUUUCUUCUUCUAAAUCCCCAUUUAAGAAGGCCGUCUUUACAUCCAUCCGAUGGAUUUGAAGGCCAUACAUGGUUGCUAACGCUCUUAACACCCGGAUAGAUGUAAUCCUUGUUAUAGGCGAGUAUAUGUCAAAGUAAUCAAGAACUUCUCAUUGUCUAAACCCUUUAACAACUAAUGUUGCCUUCUAUUUGUCAAUAGUACCAUCAGUUUUCAUUUUCCUUUUGAAAAUCCAUUUAGAACCCAAAGGUUUAUUUUCCGGAGGAAGAUCGACAAAUUCCCACGUAUGAUUACUUAAUAAGGAUUCCAUCUCACUAUUGAUUACCUCUUUUUGAUAUUUUGCUUCUGAGGAAGACAUUGCUUCUUUGAAUAUUUGAGGCAUUUUCCAAUAAAAGGCCAGAAAACCUGGUCCAAAGGAAGUAACUGUCCUUUGAUGUUUACUACGUCUUGGAUUUUCCUCAUCAAACAUACUUUCCUUUGAUUCUUCUAGAGGUCGCUUAGAUUUUGUAUUAGACGACUCACAUUACAUUUUAUACGGAUAAAUAUUCUCAAAUAAUUAAGCAUUAUCCGAUUCAAUUACCAUAUUAAUAUGAAUGUUGGGAUUUUCUGAUUUAUGAACCAGAAACCGAUAUGCCUUACUAUUUGUUGCAUAUCCGGCGAAAAUUCAAUCAACGGUUUUUGGACCAAUUUUUACCCUUUUGGGUAUAAGAACCUGCACUUUAGCCAAAAACCCCCACACUUUAAAAUAUUUUAUGUUGGGUUUCAUUACUUUCCAUUUUUCAUAUGGAAUGGAUUGUAUUUUGCUAAGGGGAACUCAAUUUAGUAUUUGAUUAGCUGUAAGAAUAGCUUCCCCCCCACAAGUUAUGAGGCAAACAAGAAUUUAUUAAUAAGGCAUUCAUCAUCUCCUUUAAUGUUCUGUUCUUUCUUUCCGCAAUUCCAUUAGAUUUCGGUGAAUAGGGGGCAGCUGUUUGGUGAAUAAUGCCAUUUUUCAAACAUAUUUCUUCAAAAGGAGAUUCAUGUUUGUCGCCUCUAUCACUUCUUAUCAUUUUGAUCUUUUUGUUUAACUGUGUUUCAACUUCAUUUUUAUAUUGCUUGAAUGCAUUCAUUGCUUCAUCUUUACUAUUAAGUAGGUAAAUAUAGCAAUAUCUUGUACUGUCGUCAACGAAAGUUAUGAAAUACUUUUUCCCAAUGCGAGAUGGUAUUGACUUCAUGUCGCAAAUAUCUGUGUAAAUUAAGUCUAAAGGAUUUGAAUUCCUUUCAACUGACUUAUACGGAUGCUUAACAUACUUUGAUUCCACACAUAUUUGACAUUUCGAGUUAUUGCAUUCAUACUUAGGUAAUACUUCCAAAUUUAUCAUUUUUCACAAAGUUUUGAAGUUGACAUGGCCUAAACAUUCGUGCCAUAAAUUAUUUGACUCAAGAAAGUUAGAAAAAGCUGAAAUUUUAUUCAUAUAAAUAGCAAUUACAUUGAGCUUAAAAAGUCCCUCACUUAGGUAACCUUUUCCUACAUACAUUUCAUUCUUACUAACUACAGCCUUGUCCGAAACAAAAACAUACUUAAAGCCAUUCUUGACUAGAAUCGAUGUCGAGUCUAAAUUCUUCCGCAUUUCAGGAACAUGAAGAACAUCUUUUAGAGUCACAAUCUUUCCCGAAGUCAUCUUUAAAGCCACUUUGCCUGUUACUUCAAUUUUUGCAUUAGUGGUGUUUUCCAUAAACACUGUGUCGUUAGGUCCAUUGGGAGAAUAAGAAGAAAACAACUCCUUGUUAGCACAAACAUUGUCGAGUUGCUCCUGAAUCAAUCCACCAUUCUCUAGGAUUUUCGACUAGGUUACUUUCUGAAGCUUCCUCAUCAAUAUUUGCACCCAUUAUUGUUGAAUUUUCACGAGAUUUCUUCUCAUAGCCUUGUUGUCCUCUUCAAUCCGUAGACGAAUAAUAAUGUCUUCAAGCAUCAUCUCCGUGCACCUAUGUUUCAAGUAAUUCUUAAAGUCCUUCCAUAGCGGAGGAAACUUUUCAAUAAAUGCUGCAACUUGAAACGCUUCAUUUAUCACCAUACCUUUAAUCGUAAAUAUAUAAUUAGUACAAUCAUUAAUAUCUUGGAAAAAAAUAUUGACUCAUUUUAUACAUUAAGCAAGGAGGUCAUGAACAAUAACUUGCAAUUCUUGGACUUGCCAUAUGACAGAUUUACCGUCAAUCAUUUUGAAAUUCAGAAAUUUGGCGGCCACAAACUUCUUUAGUCCAGCAUCUUCGGUCUUGUAAUUAUUUUCAAGAGCAUUCCAUAAUUCUCUAAAUGUUUUCAUGAUGCUAUUAACGUUUUACAAGCCAUCUUCCAGGCCACUUAAAAUGUAAUUUUUUCACAGGAAAUCAAAAUGCUUCCAAGCCUCAGUAGCAAGGAAGUUGUCGUUGUCAGGGGUUCCUUCGGGCACGACUAGAACAUCCUCUUGAAUGAACCUUUGCUGACUUAGAGUGGUCAGAUUAAAGAACAUAUUUUGCUGCCAUCUCUUAACGUCAACACUAGAAAAUUUCCCCGGCUUUUCCUCUAGUGGCAUAGCUGUUGCAGGUGCAGUAGGACGGCCAGGACCUGGCAUCCCCGAAACUGUGUUAGCAAUAUCAGUCACAACAUGGUCAAUUUGUUCCCUUCGUUAGUCAUUUCUGUCAAUAUGACACAAAACGAUUUAGUAAAUGGUGAAGUAUUUAAUCUUUCAACCGAAGACAACAUAGUGAAGAGAUUAUUCUUCAAGCUUAUUUUAACACAGUGAAGCGAUUAUUCUUCAAACUGAUUAGGAGUAGAAAACCACAAAGGUUUAGUCUCCUCACUCACUCCAAAAAUCAGAAUAACAAGGAUAUAUAAACAAUAAGAUUCUUUAAGCUUGUUAGAUAUUCUGAAAUUUAUAAGUGACUAAAAUAAAAAAAAAAUAAAUGUACAUAAUGAACAAAAAUUAAUAGAUUUAUGUCUCGAGCCCACUAGCUUUAUACCUUCAGGUGCUCGAACUAUAGGUCAGACUUCACAUUUUUUAAGUGAAGUUAAUUCUUCUUGGAUAACGUCUUCUCAUGUUGGCCAAUCAUUUCUCCGUCUGCAUUUAUUGAUAGAUUUUGGUUCAAGAUGCUCAUCUUAUUGCAUUAUUUCAACAACAACAGUAUAAUCAAAUAACAUUAUCGAUAACAAUAUUAUUUCAGUUCCAUUUUUUUCCCCAUUGAGACAUAACUUAUUAUUUUCAGGUACCUGGACCUCCCAUGAGGUCUUAUCAUUUGCUAUGUUUCCACGCUCUUCUUGAGCCACCACCUUCGUAUUAUGGUCAAUUUGAUCAUUUUAUCCUUUUCUUUUUCGAGGAUUUUUAUCUUUAGAACCGAUUAGUCUACCGCAUUUCAAGCAUGGCUUAUACUCAUUUACUUUAAUUGAUUGUCCUGCUGGGAUAUCAACUAGAAUUGGAGCAUUAGUAGCUAGAAUAUGUGACCUAGCCACUCUUUGUAGGUGAGUGAAUGCAUCAUGCAAUUGAUUUGCAAUAUUUUUGUAACGAAGAAAUCGGUCGUUUUGAGCUUUAGCAUUCCAUUCGGUAGUUUAAGACUUUGAAUAGCUUCAUAUUAUAUAUAAUGACUCGCGUAUAUUGCUGAUUUCAAUUUUUGAGCUGUUCGAGAUUGAUUUGGAAGAAUGAUUCUCGUUUUAGAAGUUUUAAAUUGGAAGAGUUUACCAAGGUUUGGCUUUUUGUUAAAUAGCCUUGGAAUCUUGUUUUAAUUAUUCAAAUAGGUUUGUAUGAUAAUUUUGGAUAUGUCCAUAAAGUUUGGAUAAAUUCUGAUGAGUUUUAGAUAAGUUUGGGUUGUAUGGUGAUUGUUUUCGGUUCGACGUCGAUUUGAGCAUAUAUGUUACCAUAUCGAGCAAACGGUUUUUGAUUCAUGUUUCGACUAAACCAUUAUAUAUGUAUCAUAAAAAUAGAAAGUUAAAUCAUCAAGUUUUGGCAUUGUAUGAGGAAUCUAUGGUCAUUUUACUAAGAUUUGGGUUUCCAGAUUUUCAGAGUAAUUACGAAAUCACCACUGAAAUCGUAUUUAAUAAUUUGAAUUGUUUUUAAAUAUUGAAACUAACAUAUCUCCUUCAUUAUAAGGUCAAAGGGAGUGAUUCAAAAUCCUAACUUGAUUGGAAUUUUAUGAGGAAUCCAUUUGAGGCAUCGAAUCUAAGUUUCAAGAUUGUUUGGCAUAAGAGACGAGGCAAAACAACUGAGCAAAAGCAUAAAAUAUCGAGGGUUUGUUAAUUUUGUCAUAUUUUGCGUUGGGAGCUAAGAUUUGGGCAUUUUUGAGGCGAUUUUCACCACGUGGAUUGGGGUAGAUGUUCUAUAUUCAGUUGUGGUUAUAUUUCAUAAAUCCAUCUUCGUUUUUGGCAUUUGAUUGAUGAUUUCAAAGUGAAAUUUAAAGUGUUUUGUCUAAAAUUUUAUAAAGUGAUUUUUUUGCGGUUUGAACAUUGAUUCCAAGUCGGAUGUGAGUGAAACUAGUAUGAUUGGACUCGUAAUUGAAUGUGUUAUCAUAUAUUGUGAGUUUUGUCAGAUUUCGAGGUGCAAGCCCAUGUUUGACUUUUUAGUUGACUUUAGGCUUUUGAUUAAAGAUUCUGCCUUUGUCAAUUGGAUUUGCUUCUUAUGGAAUUGUUUGAUGAUUUUGAAUUGUAUUUGGCUAGUUUUGAUCCGCUAGGUAGAUGAUUUGAGUGGGAUGACGCCUCAAGUGUAUCACUUUAGCUUGUUUGAGGUAAGUGUCUUGCCUAACUUUGUUGGAGAAUUUUUUUUUACUAACUGCCAUUGUUUGCUACAUGCAGGGGUGAUACAUAUAUGUCAUGACGAGCAUAUAUGCAUGUAUCAGGUUAAUUAUGUUCGAGGGUAAAUUAUACGAUUAAUUGUGCCUUAUAGAAUUACGUGACCUUCUUGUUUCAUGUCUUACUUGACUUCUAGAUUAAUAAAAAUUUAUUAAAUGCUAGAAAUCAAGAUUUAACUUAUUAUAACUCGAUUAACAUUUGACGGAUGUUUGUGAAACUAUUGAUGUGUUUAAUUCGGUCAUUGCUAUGUUUAAUCACUAAUAUAUCACUAAAGACCGUUAUUCUUGAGAUGUUGGGUUCUACACUUGAGUUGAAGAUCAUUUUUGAGACUUGUUGAAAUACUUGAAUAAUAAGGUUCUUGAGGUUUAUUGAAUUAUUAUUGGCUUGAAAGUUGUGAUUGACGUUCAUUUGGAAUAUUCGUUUAAUCACUCUCUUUGAUGUUGUUCGUGCUUCCUACCUUGCUUGUCAUUCAUAUACAUAUUCUUAGUGAGGAAGAGCGUAAAGCACGGAGGGUGAUGCCAUGCCAUUUCAUAUACAUUAUAAUUUGAGGAUGAGAGUAAAAGCACGAAGGGUGAUAACACAACAUUUUAUUUACAUUAUCAAGAUCUCAUUUAUAUUAUCAUGUGAGGAUAAGAGUAAAAUCAAGAAGAGUGAUGCCCUAAUUUACAUUAUCAUGUGAGAAUGAGAGUAAAAGAACGAAGGGUGAUGGCGUGCCAUUUUAUUUAUAUUAUCAUGUUUUUAUAUUCAUUAUCAUGUGAGGAUGAGAGUAAAAGUAUGGAGGGUAAUGCCGUACCAUUUUAUUUAUAUUACACGUGUUCAUGGUACGAAGGUUAUUUCCAUGCAGAUGAGGAUGAGGGACAUGCGUUAUAUUGUGAUAUAUUUUCCUUGUGUAUACAUUCAUGCCUUUAUCUUGAGUUGUUACUGUUGCACCUAUAUUUUUUAUGUGACUUGUCGUUAUUGUUCUGUCUUUGUUCUCUAUCUCAAUUGUUGUUGUGUUGUCCAUGCCUUAUAUCCGUUUAACUUACAAAUAUCAUGCUUUCCUUGUUAUUGUUAUAUUUACAUCCAUGCCAUUUCUCAUUUGUUGUAGUUUCAUAUAAGCCUUCUACCAUGUUAGUUACUCAUGACUUCUAUUUUUUAGCUCAUGAAGAUCAUGCUUUCCCUCUUGUUUAUUACAUCUACAUCUAGGUAUUCUACCAUGUUAGUUAGUAAACUUUAUGUUCUUCUUCCUAAUCGCUGUCAUUCCUAGUCUAUUACCGUUGUCCAUAUGCGCUGCCUUGUUCGUUAUUGUUACCUGCGUGUUUCCCACUUUUUGAUUAGUCUUGUUGGUAUUUUUUCGCCCGGUUGGUAGUGUUAUAUGCAUAUUGGUGUUGUCGUGCUAUUCGAUUUCAUAUAUUGAGUACAUUUCUCACACUAUGAAAGUUAUGGAUUUAUUAUCAUGGUUUGUUGUUUAUCGCUCUAAAGAAAGGAUUGGUCAUGAUAUUGAGGAAUAUUAAAUCGUGAUUCCUUCUAGUAAUUAUUUACUGCUUAGCAUGUUCGUUUUUUUAUGCUUUUUUCUGUUAUGUUGCAGUAUUGUUCUAUUUCUAGUCUACUCCACAUGCUAUAUCAGUGAGUAUCAUUUAACUAAAAAGCCUCAUCACUACUUCAUAAGGUUAGUCAAGAUACUUAUUAAGUACAUAGGGUCGAUUGUGCUCAUACUACACUUCUGCACCUUGCAUGAUGAUCUUGGAGCGGAGCUACGGUGGAUGACGAGAGCUGACUUUGGAGAUGUUCAUGCCUUCCGGGUGUGACUACCAUUUGUCCCGGGUUUGAUUUAUGUACAUUUCAAACAGAAUUUGUAUUUAUUUCACAUCAAAUUUUAUAAUAAUUCAAUCUUAGUAGUUCAUGACUUGUACUACUAGUCCUUGGGAUAUUGAAUGGAAUCCAGGUAUAUCAUUUUAUGGUCACCUUUACUUUGCUAAAAUUGUAUUAAUUGUUAAUUGGCUGACCUAACGGGUUGGGUUAUGUGCCAUCACGACUAGCAAAUUUUGGGUCGUGAUAAUUUUGCUAUUGCAUUAUCUGUUGAACCUCUUGUUCACAUAGAUUUGUUCAAGAAUUUAAAUGAGAUAGUGAUAAUUCAUUCUAAUCUAUUUCAUUUUUCAGCGGCUUCUUUUCUCCCCUAAUAUUGGGUACUGAUUCAUCAAAAUGGCAAUCAGAAAAUUUUGUCGUAAAUAUAUCUCCAGUCAUAAGGUGUAGAUAUUUUACAAUAGGAGAUUCAUAUCCAACAUAUAUUCCCAAUCUUCUCUGAGGACCCAUCUUUGUGCAUUGUGGCGGAGCAAUUGAAACAUAUAUCCCACAAGCAAAGAUUUUAAGAUGGAAAGUAUUUGGCUCCUGAUCCAAAGGCAAUAGCAAUGGAAAGACAUUAUGAUAACUUGUGGGCUUUAUCCGCACAAGUGAUGCUACAUGCAAAAUAGCAUGACCCAUAUUGAAAUUGAAAUUUUUUUCUCAUAAGCAUUGGUUCAACAAUUAAUAGAGGUGCUUGAUCCUUGAUUUCGCCUGACUAUUUUGAGUAUGAAUAUGAGCAACCGGAUGCUCAAUUGUCAUUUCAGUCAAUAUACAAUAGUAAUUAAAGGCAUGUGAUAUAAAAUACCUGCAUUAUCAAGACGAAUUGUAUUAAUUGCAUAAUCUGAAAAUUAUGCUCUCAACUUUAUUAUUUGAGCCAACAAUCUCGCAAAUGCCAUACUGCAAGAUGAUAAUAAGCACACAUGUGACCAUCUUGUAGAUGCAUAUACCAAAAACAUAUAAUAUCUGAAUGAUCGACAUGGAGGGUGAAUGAGCCCACAUAUAUCACCCUGCAUACGUUUCAUAAAUGUAGGGGAUUCCAUCCUAGUUUUUAUCGUUGAUGGUCUAAUAGUUAAUUUGCCUUGAAAAGAUGCAGCACAAGAUAAUUCCUUAAAUUGAAGAUUCUUUUGGUUCUUCAUUGAUGUCCAUGUGAAUUCCUAAUUAUUUUAAGCAUCAUAGUAGAACAAUGAUGGCACAACUGGUUAAUCUUUUUUAUCAUUUGUAAUCUCAAUAUGAUAUCCAUUUUGGCGAACAUCUUUGAAACUUAAUAAGUUUCUUUGAGAAUUUAUACAAUAUAGUGUUUCAUAAAUAGCAAAAUUUGUUCCUCUUGAUAUCAAUAAAUUUGCUUUCAGAACCUUAAAUUAAUCUCUACCAGAUAUUGUAUUAACAUGGGCUUUGUUCAUUACCAAAUAAGCGAAAUAUCUCUUAUCUCUUAAAAUAGUGUGUGUUGUAGAUCUAUUCAGAAGAUAUAUAUCAUCUUUAUUAAUCUUGAUUCCAACUGAAGAGUAGAAAUUUUUCAUACUUUUCAUUUAAAAAAAAGUAAAAAAUAAUCAUAAGAAAUAUGAAAUACUAACAGAAAAAGAACAUUAUACAUUAGAUAUGUAGAAACCAUCAACACAUGAUACAUUAGGAAAAUACACUCAAGAAAAAUAAACUAGUCGUAAACAUGAAAUAAAAAAUAACAACUUUCAUUAUUGCUUCAUUCCCAGUGAGAUGAUUAGUUCUUCAGUCAAUAUCCUCAAAGACAUCUCCAGCUUCUAAAUGAGUAAUAUUUGCAAGGCCUCCAAAAUCAUUAUCUUUAUAUGCAAUAUAUGCCUCAGAAUCAAAUUUGUUUGAGGGACCUACUUCUUCAUCAUUACUUUUGAAAGUUCAAGUGUGCCUCCAUAUUGUUUUCUUUCUUUCUGAGAGAAGCUUGAUAAUGUUUGACAAAAUGAUCUGGUGUACGACAAAUACGUGCGUAAUGACCUUUUGUACCACAUUGGUGCCACAUAUUAUUUUACCUUUUGAAGGAUUUAUUUGAGAACCCUUAUUGUUCUCAUGUUUAUUUCCACCAUGAUGAUAAUAAUUGUUUCGUCCCCUGCCACGUCCACGUCUGCGACCAUGUCCAUGGCCAGAGUAAUUAUUUUUUUCUUUCAAAACUUAUCAUAUGUUGCUAGAACAUUCACUUAUGGGAAUGGAGCUGACCCAGUGGGAUGGACUUCAUGAUUUUUCAUUAAUAGAGUAUUAUUAUGUUCUGCCAUAAGUAGGCAUGUGAUUAACUCAAGAAUAUUUCUUAAAACCUGUGACGACCCGGCCAGUCGUCUCAUGAAUAACCGUUUUGUUUACCUUGCUUCUUUAUACUUCGUUAUCCAUGUUUUGAGGUAUCGGCUUGGUCGGAUCGAAUACGGAAUGAUUUUUGUAAGAUUUGAGACAUUUAGUCUCUCUUAAGGAAGUUUAAGCUGGAAAAAUUAACCAAAUGCUGACUUAUGUGUUACAAAGGUCGAAAGUCAGUUUCAAUGGUUCAGUUAUCUUCGAGAGGUGAUUUAUGUCUUAGGAAUGCGAUAAAAAUGGGUCUAGGAGGGUUGGAUUAGUUUUAGGCUUGAAUUGGCGAAGUUGAUAAUUUGGCGAUUUCCGGUUGGUAGGUGAGAUUUUGAUAUAGGGGUUGGAAUAGAAUUUUGAGAGUUGUAGUAGCUUCGUGGUGUCAUUUGUGAUGUGUGCACAAAAUUUUAAGUUAUUCGGACACGGUUUGGUUGGGUUUUAGAUGAAAAGCGGAAUUCAGAAGAUUUUUGAAACUUGGGCUUCAAUCUAAGGUGUUUUAGUUGAUUUGAUGUUGUUUGAAGUGUCUUGAUAAUUGGAAAAAGGUUGAAUGAGGUAUUAAGAUAUGUUUGUGCUUUUGGUUGAGGUUCGGUGGUCUCGGGGUGAUUUCGGAUGGAUAAUAGAGGAGUUGAGAUGUUAUUGCAGCAGCUAAAGUUUGCUGCUUCUCGUGUUUUCGCACCUGCGGUUUGGGGACUGGAGGUGCGGUGCCGCAUAUGGGAUGGAAUAGCUGGAGAAGGAGAUUAUGAGGAAAUGUCAGUGACCUCAGAAGCAGUAAGGAUGGCCGCAUCUGCGGAGCCGUAGAUGCAGAAGGCGUAUUGAAGAUGCGACUUUUGGGUUGUUAUUGAUUUCCACGGAAGCGGAGGAUUUAACCGCAAAUUCGGUACCACAGAAGCGGGUUUUAGACCACACAUUUGGGUGUCCCUGGGCAAAAUAUAUAUAUGUCUUCCUUAAGGAUUUAUGAAGGUUUCACCAUUUAUAAACACAAUUCGGGAGCAUCGGGUGAUUUUGAAGAGAGAAAUCAAGGAUACUUCGUUAACAUAAGGAUUUUGGACCUAAAACACACUUCUAUGGUAGAAUUUCAUGCAUUAAGAAAGUAAUUAAAGGUAUUAAAGGGCUAAAAACGGGGGAUUAGGACUUGAGUUUAAGAUGCCUUUAAAUGAGGAUUUGAGGGGUCAUUUGGACCCUGAUUUUAGUAUUCUUGAUAUGUACACACUUGAGGGAGGAUAAGGAUUCCGUUGAUGCAAAAAUUAUUGAAUUCCGAGUCGUGGACUCGGGGGUCAGGUUUUGGUAAUUUCGGGAUUUGUGCCCUUAUUGUUUGUCUUUGCUUGGACUUCGUUCCCUUAGCAUAUUUUGAUGUCCUUCGUUCUGAUUUUGGAUAGAUUUGACGCGUGUGGAGGCCGAUUCGUGAGGCAAAGGUGUCACAAGCUAGAGAUUUAGCCGGUUCUAGGUAAGUAAUGAUUAUAAAUGAUGUUCUGAGGGUUUAAAACCCCAAAUUUCAAAUUGUAGUGCUAUAUUAAGGUGACACACACGCUUGAUGACGGGCGUGGGACCGUGCACUAUUAGGGAUUGUGACUUGGUCCAUCUCGAUUGAUGAUUUACCGCGUAUGUGGUUCUAAAUUUAUUUUCUAUUAGUAUGAUUUGGGCUGAAUGCCAUAUUUGGGCGUCGUGCCAAUUAUUUAAACCCUCCGGGGAUUUUAUUACUAUUUCCUCACUGUUUUGACUUAUCACUUUAACUAAGUCAUGUUAUUUUCCAUUAUUUUCAUAAUCAGCCAUGUUUAUUCCGUUUUAAGACUUAAAUGAUAUUUUAAAUGAUGUUUGGGAUGAGAAAUACUGUUUUAAUAUUGCCCGAGGGGCUUGUGAGUGUUUUUGACUAAGUAAGGUUGAGGGCCUAUGUUGUGAGGAAACACUGAUAUUGAUUUGAGGCCGAGGGCUAGAGAUAUGUACGCCACAAGGUGGCUUGAUUGAUAUGAGGAUGAGGGCCGAGUUUUGAUGCCAUGAGACGGAUUGUUAUUGUGCUUGGGCCGUAAGGAGCUCCUCUAGGAGUCUGCACACCCCAGUGAGUAUGUGUACCCAUUGUGACGUGAGAUUGAGCCCGAGGGGCUGUAUUAUUCUAAGAUAUUGCCCGAGGGACAGAUUUGUUGAUACUAUGCCCGAGGGGCAAACGUUUAUUUUUUUAGCUUACCUUAUUGUCCAUCAAUUACCCUUUUAAUGUUGAAAAAGGAUUUUUACUUGACAUUUUAUUGGUUUACUGAUUUUAAAUGGUUUUAAUGCUUCAUUAUAGAAUUCUUUGUGCCUUACAUGUUUUCUUACUUUCACUCGUUAUUUACAUUUGUUACUCACUGAGUUGGAGUACUCACUUUACUCCCUGCACCCUGUGUGGAUGCCAUGAGACGGAUUGUUAUUGUGCUUGGGCCGUAAGGAGCUCCUCUAGGAGUCUGCACACCCCAGUGAGUAUGUGUACCCAUUGUGACGUGAGAUUGAGCCCGAGGGGCUGUAUUAUUCUAAGAUAUUGCCCGAGGGACAGAUUUGUUGAUACUAUGCCCGAGGGGCAAACGUUUAUUUUUUUAGCUUACCUUAUUGUCCAUCAAUUACCCUUUUAAUGUUGAAAAAGGAUUUUUACUUGACAUUUUAUUGGUUUACUGAUUUUAAAUGGUUUUAAUGCUUCAUUAUAGAAUUCUUUGUGCCUUACAUGUUUUCUUACUUUCACUCGUUAUUUACAUUUGUUACUCACUGAGUUGGAGUACUCACUUUACUCCCUGCACCCUGUGUGCAAAUUUAUGUGUAGCUGGUCUCGCUCCCAAGCGCUGAUUCAUUCUAGCUUCAGGGCGGUUCUUCGAGGAGUCUUUAGAUAGCUGUUAGUAUACACAGCCGAAGCUCCUCCCUAUCUCUUUAUUUUAAGUCCCUAGUUCAAUGUUAAGCCCUAUAGUUAUAUUUGAGUAUUCAGUGUUCAUAGAUGGUCGUGACAUGUGACACCACAGUUAGGGCUGUGUCAGGUUGUAUUUAUGCUACUUAUUAUCAUCAAACCGUGUUUCAGACUGCUUUUAUGUUGUUUUAUUUCUUUAACAAGUGAAUUGGUUUAGUUGGCUGGCCUUGUAUUCACGAGAGGUGCAAUCACGAUUGGGUUUGGGGUUAGAGUCGUGGCAAGUUGGUAUUAGUGCCUAGGUUACAUAGGUCUCGCGAGUCAUGAGCAGGUGGAGUAGAAUCUCGCAUAUCGGAAUGGAGCCAUCUGUAUUUAUCCAUGAGAGGCUGUAGAACCUUUAGGAAAAACUUCACAUUCUUGAAAUUAUUGUCGUGUGAACUUGUUGAUCUGAGUACUAAGCUUCUGUUAUUCUAUUCUCUCACAUAUGGUGAGGACACACGCUAUCGAAUAGGUUGGACGACCACUAGUGCCACCAGCUGUAGCCACUAGAGGCCGAGGACACAGUCGUGGUCGUGGUAGAGGCAGAGCAGCAAGGGCAGCACCUGCGGAUCCAUCAACUGCCCUAGUUCAGGACAGGGUCCUAAAUGUGGAUGCUCCAGCAGCACCAGCACAGGCACCAGCUGUGCCCAUUGUGAUUCCGGGUCUUCAGGAGGUCUUGGCUCUAAUCUUAUCAGUUUGCACUGGCCUAGCUUAGGCGGUUUCAGCCUCUAUAGCCAUAGCUACUUCUCAGGCCAAGAGAGGCAGUCAGACUCCCGUCGAUCGCACACCCGAGCAUGUCGUGUUGUUACUUCAGACAUCGGGGGAACACCUCGCCUAGCCUGUUGUAGCUGCUCAUGACUAUGUAGUUCCUGCUAUGCUAGAGGACGAGCAACGUAGGUUAGAGAGAUUUGGAAGGCUUCAACCUCCGACUUUCAGUGGCAUAAAGGGCGAUGAUGCCUAGGGCUUUUUGAAGAAGUGCUAAAGGAUGCUUUACCACAUGUGUUUUGGAGACCAGCGGGGUCGCUUUCACUACCUAUCAGUUUUCAGGACCUACUUUCACUUGGUUGGAGGAUUUUGAGAGGCGUAGGCCUGUUGGUGCAGUACCCCUUACCUGGCAGUAGUUCUCCUUUCUCUUUCUAGAUAAGUAUGUGUCGUAGUCUCAUAGAGAGGAGUUGUGUAGGGAGUUUGAGUGGUUGUGUUAGGGGGAGAUGACCGUUUCACAGUAUGAGUUGAGGUUCUUCGAUUUGGCUUGUCAUGCCAUCUAGUUGGUCCUGACAGAUAGAGAGAGGAUCAGGAGGUUUAUUGAUGGUCUUACUUAUUAGCACCGUAUUCUUAUGACUAGGGAGAGGUUGACCGGUGCUACAUUCAAGGAGAUUGUGGAUAUUUCCCGAGAGACCGAGUCUGUUCUUCGCUAGGAGUGGGAAGAAAGGGAGGCCAAGAAGCCUCGAGGAUAUGGUAGUUAUAGUGGUUCUUUUUCGAGGGGCCAGUUUCAGCACAACAGAGGAUGUUCAUUUAGGCAUGCUCAAUCAGCAGACCCAAGUUAUCAUGGAGAGUCAUCCGGUCAUGGUUCUCACAAUUCACAUCAAGGCCAGUCAUCACUUAGUGCCCUUCCAGCUCAGAGUUCAUCCCGUGCUCUCUCGGUUUAGUGCUCUUCUAUGCCGAGUGCAUCUGUUAGUCACUCUGGUGCGAGAGGUUCCCUUUAGUCUUCUUCUCCAGCACCUAAAAGUUGUUUCGAGUGAGGUGAGAUGGGCCACAUGUGGAGACAGUGUCCUCGUUGUUUUGAUAUUUCAUCCCAGCAAAGGGGUCCGUCAUCAGCUUCAGCGCCAGUUAUUUCUCCACCACCCGCCCAACCAUUUAGGGGUGGUGGUUAGUCACCCAGGGGUUGCCCUAGAGGGGAAGGUCAGACAUGUUUCUAUACUCUCCUAGGAAGACCCAAUACUAUUGCUUCAGAUGCCGUUAUUACAAGUAUUAUUCAGUCGGCCACAGAGAUGCCUCUAUUUUAUCUGAUCCUGGAUCCAUAUUUUCUUGUGUGUCAUCAAACUUUGCUAGUUAUUUGGGUAUGCCCCGUUAGUUUCUUGCUUUACCUAUUCCUGUAUCUACCCUGGUAGGCGAUACUGUUGCUGUAGACCGUGUGUACCAGUAAUACAUGGUGACUAUUAGGGGUUUAGAGACCCGAGUGGAUCUAUUAUUACUGAACAUGGUGGAUUUUGAUGUCAUUCUGGGCAUGGAUUGGCUAUCUCUGUGUCGCGGUAUUUUGGACAGUCAUGCUAAGACAGUCACAUAGGCUACGCCGGGGGUGCCACGAAUCGAGUGGUAAGGUGUGACUGAUUAUGUUCCUAGUAGAGUGAUCUCGUUCUUGAAAGCCUAGCGUAUGGUUGGGAAGGAUUGUCUUUUGAAUCUUGCCUUUGUGAGGGAUGUCGGAGCUGAGACUCCUAGUAUUAAUUCUAUUCAAGUUGUGAGGGAUUUCCUUGAUAUAUUUCCUGCAGACUUUCCGGGCAUGCCAUCAGAUAGAGAUAUUGAUUUUGGUAUUAACCUAGUGUCGAGCACUCCGCCCAUUUCUAUUCCGCCGUAUAAUAUGGCACCAACAGAUUUGGAAAAAGUUGAAGGAGCAGCUUCAGGAACUCCUUGAUAAGGGGUUCAUUUGGCCUAGUGUGUCACCUUGGGGUGUGCCGGUUAUGUUUGUGAAAAUGAAGGAUGGCACAAUGAGAAUGUGCAUCGAUUAUAGGCAAUUGAACAAGGUAACAAUUAAGAACAUGUAUCCUUUGCCUCACAUUGAUAAUUUAUUCGACCAGCUUCAGGGAGCGAGGGUGUUCUCCAAGAUUGAUAUUCGUUCAGGCUAUCACCAGUUGAAGAUCAAGGAUUCUGAUAUUCGUAAGACGACUUUCAGGACCAGAUAUGGUACUUAUGAGUUCCUGGUUAUCUUUUUUAAGCAUAGCAAUGACCCAAAUAUGUUCAUGCAUUUGAUGAACAUGUUCCAGCCUUAUCUUGAAUCGUUUGUCAUAGUUUUCGUUGAUGAUAUUCUGGGGUGUUCGUGUAGUCGAGAGGAGCACACGAAGCAUUUGAGGGUUGUGUUGCAGAGAUUGAGGGGGGAGAAACUUUAUGCAAAGUUCUCCAAGUGUGAGUUUUUGCUCGUCUUAGUAGAAUUCUUGGGACACGUGAUGUCCCGCGAGGGUAUUCAGGUUGAUCCAAAGAAGAUAGAGGCGGUGUAGAGUUGUCCCAGACCAUCCUCAGCUACAGAAAUUCGCAGCUUUCUUGGUUUGGUAGGCUAUUAUUGCCGGUCUGUUCAGAUAUUCUCAUCUAUUGUGUCACCCUUGACCAAGUUAACUUAGAAGCGUGUUUCAUUUGUAUGGUCGGAUGAGUGUGAGGAGAGGUUUUAAAAGCUUAAGAAAUCUUUGAGCACAACUCCAAUGGUUGUUUUGCCAUCAGCUUCAAGUUCAUAUUCCGUGUAUUGUGAUGCUUCGAGAAUAUGGUUAGUUCUGUGUUGAUGUAGGAGGAUAGAGUUAUUGCUUAUGCUUAUCUUCAGUUGAAGCCCCAUGAGAAUAACUACCACGUUCAUGAUUUGGAGUUGGCUUCCAUAAUUCACGCAUUGAAUAAUUGGAGGCAUUACUUGUAUGGAGUAUCUUGUGAGAUGUUCACCGGUCAUCGCAGUCUUCAGCAUUUGUUCAAGAAAAAGGAUCUUAAUUUGAGGCAGCAAAGAUGGUUGGAGUUGCUUAAGGAUUAUGAUAUCAUUAUAUUGCACCAUCCGAGACAAGCCAAUGUGGUGACCGAUGCCUUGAGCCGAAAGGUAGUAAGUAUGGAGAUUUUGGCAUAUAUAAUUGGGGAGAGACCUCUUGCAGUGGAUGUUUAGGCCUUGGCCAAUUGGUCCGUGAGGAUGGAUAUUUUGGAUCCCCGUCAGAUAUUGGUUUUGUAGUUUCUCGGUCUUUUUUAUAUGAUCGCAUCAGUGAUGAGCCAUAUUUUCUUGUCCUUUGGUACAAAUCUCAUCAUGAUAAUACUUGAGAAGUGGCCAUUGGUGAUAAUGGGGUGUUGAGGAUGUAUGGUUGGAUUUGUGUGCCCAACGUAGAUAAGCUUCGGGAGUUUAUUCUGAAGGAGGCCCAUAGCUCGCGGUAUUCCAUUCAUCUAGGUUCUGCAAAUGUAUAUCAGGAUUUGAUUCAGCACUAUUGGUGGGGAGAAUGAAGAAACACAUUGUGGGAUUUGUAUAUUGGUGUUUCAAUUGUCAGCAAGUGAAAUAUGAGCAUCAGAGACCGGGCAGCUUGCUCUAGUCGAUGGAUAUUCUAGAGUGGAAGUGGGAGAGGAUCACUAUGUACUUUGUUGUUAGACUUCCAUAGACUUUGAGGAAGUUUGAUGCUAUUUGGAUGAUUGUGGAUCAGCUGACUAAGUCCGCGCACUUCAUUUCUAUCUAUACUACUUAUUCUUCAGAGCGGUUAGCAGAGAUAUAUAUCCGGGAGAUUGUUUGGUUGCAUGGUGUUCCAGUUUCUGUAAUUUUAGAUCGGGUCACUCAGUUUACUUCCCAAUUUUGGAAGUUUGUUCAGCAAGAGUUGGGUACUCAGGUGGAGUUGAGCAUAAAUUUUCACCCUCAGACGGACGAGAAACUAUUUAUAUAUUGGAGGAUAUGUUACGCGCUUGCGUCGUUGAUUUCAGAGGGCCAUGGGAUCGGGUCACUCAGUUUACUUCCCAAUUUUGGAAGUUUGUUCAGCAAGAGUUAGGUACUCAGGUGGAGUUGAGCAUAACUUUUCACCCUCAGACGGACGGGAAACUAUUUAUAUAUUGGAGGAUAUGUUACACGCUUGCGUUGUUGAUUUCAGAGGGCCAUGGGAUCAGUUCCUAUCAUCGCACAGUUUUCUUAUAACAACAACUGCCGGUCGAGAAUUCAGAUAGCUUCAUAUAAGGCUUUGUAUGAGAGGCAGUGUAGAUAUCCUGUGGUUGGUUCGAGCCCGGUGAGGCUAGGCGAAGGUGAAGGUGAUUCAGAAGAGGCUCCAUAUAGCAUGGUCGAGGCAAAAGAGUUGCACUGACAUAAUGGUGCAAGAUGUGUUGUACAUGGUUGGGGAGAAGGUUCUGUUGAAGUUUCGCCCAUGAAGGGUGUUAUGAGAUUUGGGAAGAAAGGGAAGUUGAGUCCGCGCUUCAUUGGACCUUCUGAGUACUUCGGAGGAUUGGGGAGGUGGUUUAUGAGCUUGCUUUUCCACCCAACUUGUCGAGUGUGCAUCUGGUGUUACAUGUUUCUAUGCUCCAAAAGUAUAUUGAAGCUCCAUCUCAUGUUCUGGAUUUCAAAACAGUUCAGUUGGAGGGUGAUUUGACUUAUGAUGUGGAGCCAACAAUUAUUUUGGAGCAUCAGGUUCAGAAGUUGAGGUUAAAUGAUAUAGCUUUAGUGAAAGUGUAGUGGAGAGGUUGGCCCGUGUAGGAGGCUACUUGGGAGACUUAGCGGGAGAUGCAGAGAAGAUAGCCUCACCUGUUUCUUCAGGUAUGUUGCUUGACUCAUUCGAGGACAAACAUAUAAUUAUGUUGGGGAGGAUGUGACGACCCGGUCGGUCAUCUCAUGAAUCACCUCUCCAUUCCUAUUAUUUUUGCUUUUUUAUGCUUUUUUAUCCGUGUUUUGAGGUAUCAGGUUGGUCGGAUCGAAUCCGGAAUGAUUUUGGUAAGGUUUGAGACUCUUAGUCUCUCAUAAGGAAGUUUAAGCUGGAAAUGUCAACCGGAUAGUGACUUAUGUGUUAGAGGGCUCGAAUGUGAGUUCCGAUGGUUUGAUUAGCUUCGGGAGGUAAUUUAUGACUUAGGAGUGCGAUAAGAAUAGGUCUUGAAGGUUUGGAGUAGUUUUAGGCUUGAAUUGGCGAAGUUGAUAAUUUGGCGAUUUCCGGUUGGUAAGCGAGAUUUUGAUAUAGGGGUUGGAAUGGAAUUAUGACAUUUGUAUUAGCUUUGUGGUGUCAUUUAGGAUGUAUAUGUAAAAUGUCAAGUUAUUCAGAUGUGGUUUGGUUGGGCUUUUGAUCAAAAGCGUAAUUCAGAAGAUUUUAGAAACUUAGGCUUGAAUCCAAGGUGUUUUGGUUGAUUUGAUGUUGUUUUAGUGUUUUUAUGAUUGGAACAAGUUUGAAUGAGGUAUUGGAUAUGUUUGUGAUUUUAGUUGAGGCCCCGGUGGCUUCAGGGUGAUUUUAGAUGGUUAACGGAAGAGUUGAGAUGUUAAUGCAACAACUGAAGUUUGCUACUUCUAGUGUUUUCGGCGCCUCACAUGCGAUGGAAUGGUCGCAGAAGCAGAUUAUGAGGAUUUUCCAAUGACUGCAAAAGCGGUAUGGAUGGCCGCAUCUGCGAAGUCGCAGAUGCGGAAGGCGUAUCAGAGAUGCGACUUUUAGGCUGUUAGUGAUUUCCGUAGAAGUGGAGGAUUUAACCGCAAAUGCAGUACCGCAGACGCGAGUUUUGGACAGCAGAUGCGAGCGUCCCUGGGCAUGAUGUAUAUAAGUAUUCCUUCGCGAUUUUUGAAGGGUUUCACCAUUUUAAUACACAGAUUCAGGAGCUUUGGGAGAUUUUGAAGAGAGAAAUCAAGGAGACUUCGUUAAGGUAAGGAUUUUGGGCCUAAAACACACUUCUAAGUAGUAUUUCAUGGAUUAAGGUUGUAAUCAAAGGAAUUAAAGGGCUAAACAUGGGGUAUUAGAGCUUGAGUUUAAUAGGCCUUUAAAUGAGGAUUUGAGGGGUCAUUUGGACCCCUAUUUUAGUAUUCUUAAUAUGUACACACUCAGGGGAUGAUAAGGAUUCCGUUGAUGUAAAAAUUAUUGAAUUUCGAGUCGUGGGCUCGGGGGUCGAGUUUUGGUAAUUUUGGGAUUUGCACCCUUUAUUGACUGUCUUUGCUUGGGCUUCAUUCCCUUAGCAUAUUUUGACGUCAUCGUUCUGAUUUUGGAUAGAUUCGAUGUGCGUGGCGGCCGAUUCGAGGGACAAAGUCAUUGCAAGCUAGAGAGUUAGUCGAUUCGAGGUGAGUAAUGAAUAUAAAUAAUGUUUUGAGGGUUUGAAACCCCGGAUUUCACAUUGUAGCGCUAUAUUAAGGUGAGACACAUGCUUGAUGACGGGCGUGGGGCCAUGCACUAUUGGGGAUUGUAACUUGGUCCGUCCCGAUUGAUGAUCUUACCUCGUAUGUGGUUUGAAACAUAUUUACUCUCAAUACGAUUUGGUUGAAUGCCAUAUUUGGGCUUCGUGCCAAUUAUUUAAACCCUCAGGGGAUUUUAUUACUAUUUCCUCACUGUUUUGACUAAUUACUUGAACUCAAUUGUCACGACCCGGAUUUACCCACCAUCAGAAAUUGUGAUGGCGCCUACUGUCGGAGCUAGGCAAGCCAACUUUUAAAAUCAUUUCAAGAAAAUUUAAGUCUAAAAAAGGUUAAAUGCUAAAAUAAUUAGUUAAAACAUGCGGAAGACGUCAAAUAACAGUAACGAAGAUCAAUAUGCGGAAGAUUAAUAACCAAUCUCUACCUAGUAUCUGGUGUCACUGCUCGCGGACUACUAAUAGAGUGCAAAAAUAAUAGUCUGAAAGAAGUACAUAUUUGGUACAAUUUAACAAACAGAAAGGGAAAGAUAGAGGAGACUCGAGGCCCCCGAACGCCUGCAAACUACCUCAGAGCCUCUGAACUGAAGGAUCACUCCCGGUAUAAGGAUGCGGUCCAUAAACUGGGUCCUGACCUGUGCACAAAGAGGCACAGAAGCGUAGUAUCAGCACAACAAACCCCAUGUACUGGUAAGUGUCCGGCGUAACCUCGGCGAGGUAGUGACGAGGCUAACUAGACCUAACAUAAACAACCUGUACAUAUAUAUACGAUAACAAAAAAGGAAAACAAGAAUUUAAACAACAAAAAGGGAGGGAACAUGCUAGGGGGAAUAGCAGUUCAAUUAUCACUUCUAGAGAUGGAACUAAAUAUAUAAUACUUAAACAAGAAAACCAAUGAAUCAAUGGCUGCACGGCACCACCCGUCGUGCUUUUACUCUCAUUCCUUACCAAAAUAGUCAAGUAUAAUGCACGGCAUCACCCUUCGUGCUUUUACUCUCAUUUCUCACCAAGAAUGUCAAAUACAAGGCACGACAUCAUCAUUCAUGCUUUUACUCUCGAUAAACAGUGCACGGCACCACCCAUCGUGCUUUUACUCUUGUCCUCUCCCAAUCAAUAGCACCACUACAUCUCGUGGAGGAAAUCAAUAUAUACCACUCCAUCUUGUGGAGGAAAUCAAUAAAAACCACUCCAUCUUGUAGAGGAAAUCAAUAAGUACACGGCAUUACCCAUUGUGCGUUAUCGCUCCUCCUCACCCAAACAAUAAUCAAAAUUAAUGGGAAAAGGAGUAGACAACAAGAUUAACCAUCCCGGCAAGGGAGAACAAUGCAAAAACAAGUCCCGGUAAGGGAAACAAUUAACAACAAAUCCCGGCAAGGGAAAAUCACCACCAACUAGUCUCUAGUUCAUUUAUUUAUCAUCUUUCACUUCAUAGCUCUUAUAACAAGAAUUUAUCCCAAUUUUUCACUUCUUUCACAAUUCUAAUAACAAUGACAACACUGUCAUGCUCGACUCGGGCGCAUAGGUAACCGUCACCAUACCUAUACACCGACACCACAUAACACACAGCAAUUAACAACCUAAUCCUACUCCCUCAAGCCAAAGUUAGAUCGAACACUUACCUCGAAGGCUUCUAACUCAACUCAUGCUUCUAGAAUAGCUUUACCCCUCGAAUUUUCUUCAAAACUGGUCAAAUCUAACCAUAAUUUUUUCAAAUGUAUUAACAAAUGCUAGUUAACUCAAUUUGAAUGCAAAAGAAUGAGAUUCCCAAAGUUCUACUCAAAAAUUCCCAAAAUUCCCCCAAGCCCACGUGGUAAAAACAUGAGGUUCGAAUAAAAACCGGGUAACCCAUUCCCCAUGAGUUCAUAUAUGCAAUUUGUUUUGAAAUCGGACCCCAAAUUGAGGUUUAAAUCCCCAAUUUUAUGAAAACCUAGGUUCUACCCCAAGUCCCCAUUUUUACCCAUUGAAAGCUUUGAUUUUAAGUUGAAAUCAUGAUAAAAGAUGUUAAAGCCAAAUUUCCAAUUUUAUGAAAACCAACUAUCUACCCCAAAUCCCCCAUUUUUAACAAUGAAAGCUUUGAUUUUAAGGAUGAAAUCAUGUUAGAAUAAGAUAAAUAUUAAAGAAAACUAGUAAAAAUUAACUUACAUUUGGUUUGAGGACGAAAGGGUUCGAGAGGAAUCAUGUAUGGUGGUUUUGGGUUUUAAAAGAUAUGAAAAAAAUUAGGUUUAAAUUCGUUUAUGUAACCGUUAAACAGACGCAGAUCUCGCAAUUGUGAGAAAGAGUUCGCAAUUGCGAACUGAGUAGCAAGAAGGACGAUCGCGCAUUUGCGAGAUAAGCGGUCACAAAUGCGAACUGGCAAGGAACAAAGAGCGAUCAAAUUUACGAGAUUAGACUUUGGAAUUGCGAAGUCUUGUUGCCAGGGGAAAUAUCGCAUUUGCGAUAUAAACAUCGCAUUUGCGAUGACAAAUCCAAACAGGGGAUGUUUGCAUUUGAGAACAUGUAUUCGCAAUUGCGAAGACUACAGACACCAGCAGUGAGAUGCAACAGAAAAUUAGCCUAACACCUAUCCGAACUCACCCGAGCCCUUGUGGCUCCAACCCAAACAUGCACCCAACCUCAAAAACAACCUAUGGACUUACUCGUGCGAUCAAAUCGCCAAUAUAACAUCUAAAUCAAAGAAUCAACCUCCAAAACUCAUGAUUUUCAUUUCAAGUUCAAAAUUUUUAAACUUUUCCACUUUUAGUUCAAAACACGUCAAACGAUGUCCGAUUCCAAUGAAACUUCACAUAUAGUGCUUAACAAUUAUUUAUGACUUGUACCGGGCGUCAGAACCAAAAUACGAGCCCGGUACCACUAUUUUUGAUCAAUUUCCAUUUUCAUUUUUCCUUACGCAUAUUCAUAAAACAAUUUCACAGAAAAAUUUCGAACUCGGUCCUGGGACCUCGGAUUUCGAUUCCGGGAAUAUACCCGGGUCCCAAAUUUAAUUACGGACCCUCAAGGACCGUCACAUCAGGGGUUCGGGUCCGUUUACCCAAAAUGUUGAUCACAGUCAACCAUUGAAAUAUUGGUAUCAAAAUUCAUAGUUUUUAACACAGGAUUCAAAUAUUUUCACAUAAAAAUUUCCGGCUUUGCGCCCGGACUCCACACGCAAAUCGAUCCAACCCAGUAAGAGGCUUUCAAGGCCUUAGAAACACAAGGAAAGGGAGAAUUACGGUAAUGACCCUCUGGGUUGUCACAUCCUCCACCUCUAAAACAACUGUUCGUCCUCAAACGGACAAAAGAAGGAAGUACCUGAGUCGGGGAAUAGAUGGGGAUAACGGCUCUGCAUAUCAGAGUCGGACUUCCAGGUCGAUGCCUCAGGAGGCUGACCUCUCCACUGAACACACACCGAAGGAAAACCCUGCGACCUCAAUUGUCGAACCUGCCGGUCUAAAUUAGCCAUCGGCUCCUCCUCAUUUGAUAGAUCCUUGUCCAAUUGGACAGUACUGAAAUCUAACACGUGGGUGGGAUCGCCAUGAUACUUCCGAAGCAUGGAUACAUGAAAAAUCGGAUGCACAGCUUACAAGCUAGGCAACUAUGCAAGCCUAUAAGCCACCUUCCCCACAAGGUCAAGAAUCUCAAAUCGGCCAAUAUACCUUGGGUAAGCUUGCCCUUCAUACAAAUCCUCAUCACGCCCUUCAUAGGCGACACACGGAGCAAUACUCGCUCACCAACCAUGAAAGCAACAUCCCUGACCUUACAGUCUGCAAUACUCUUCUGCCUAGACUGAGCUGAUCGAAGUCUAUCCUGAAUGAUCUUGACCUUAUCCAAGGCCUCCUGUACCAAAUCCACACCCAAUAACCGAGCCUCUCCUGGCUCAAACCAUCCUACUUGGGACCGACACCGCCUAUCACACAACGCCUCAUAUGGAGCGAUUUGAAUACCGGAAUUGUAGCUGUUGUUGUAGGCAAACUCCGCUAACGGCAAGAACUGGUCCCACGAGCCUCCAAAAUCAAUAACGCAGGCUCGGAGCAUAUUCUAAAGAAUCUGAAUGGUCCUCUCGUACUGACUGUCCGUCUGGGGGUGAAAUGUUGUACUUAAAUGGACCUGGUUACCCAACUCAUGUUGCAUCGCUCUCCAGAAAUACAAAGUAAAGUGCAGACCCCGAUCUGAAAUAAUAGAUAUGGGCACCCCAUGAAGACGAACGAUCUCCCUGAUAUAAAUCUUUGCAUACCUCUUGGAUGAAUAAGUGGUGGAAACUGGGAUGAAAUGUGCUGACUUAGUCAGCCUAUAAAAAAUAACCCAUAUAUAUCUAACUUCUUCCGAAUCAUUGGAAGGCCAAUAACAAAAUCCAUAGUGACCCUCUCCCACUUCCACUCGGGAAGCUCAAUCCUCUGAAAUAACCCACUAGUCCUCUGAUGCUCGCACUUAACCUGCUGACAAUUUAUACAACGAGCCACAUAUGCAACAAUGUCUUUCUUUAUUUUACGCCACCAGUAAUGUUGUUUCAAAUCCUGAUACAUCUUCGCGGUGCCCGGAUGAAUAGAAUACCGAGAGCUGUGGGCCUCUUUUAAGAUCGACUCUCAAAUACCAUCAACAUUGGGCACACAAACUCGCCCCUGCAACCUCAAUAUGCCAUCAUCUCCCAUAUACAGUAUAAGGCCCAGAUCCCGUGUGCAAAACCAAUACCGGUGCCGUAGUUAGAGCUAUGUUGAGAUUUCUGAAGCUCGCCUCGCAGUCAUAUGACCAUUUGAACUGGGCACCCUUCUGAGUCAAUUUAGUCAUCGGGGUUGCAGUGGAUGAAAAUCACUCCAUAAAACGCCUAUAGUAACCAGCUAACCCCAAGAAGCUCCGAAUAUCUGUAGCUGAAGAUGGUCGAGGCCAGUUAUUGACUACCUCUAUCUUCUUUGGGUCCACCUGAAUACCCUCUGCUGAUAGGACAUGACCUAGGAAUACUACUGAUCUCAACCAAAAUUCACACUUUGAGAAUUUGGCGUACAACUGGCUAUCCUUCAGAGUCUGAAGAACCACUCUGAGCUGCUGCUCAUGCUCCUCCUGACUGCGGGAGUAUACNNNNNNNNNNNNNNNNNNNNNNNNNNNNNNNNNNNNNNNNNNNNNNNNNNNNNNNNNNNNNNNNNNNNNNGAUUAUACCAAGAUAUCAUCAAUGAAUACAAUCACAAAUAAAUCCAAGUAAGGCCUGAACACUCGGUUCAUCAACUCCAUGAAUGCUGCCGGGGCACUGGUCAUCCCAAACGACAUGACCAAAAAUUCAUAAUGUCCAUACCGAGUACAAAAAGUUGUCUUAGGGACAUCAGACGCCCUAAUCCUCAACUGAUGAUAACCAGAACUCAAAUCUAUCUUCGAUAAUACAUUAGCAUCCUGAAGCUGGUCAAACAAAUUGUCAAUCCUCGGUAGUUGAUAUUUGUUCUUUACUGUCACCUUGUUCAACUGCCGGUAAUCAAUGCACAUCAUCAUUGACCCGUCCGUUUUCUUCAAAAACAACCCUGGCGCACCCCAAGGUGAUACACUGGGUCUAAUGAAACCCUUAUCAAGAAAAUCCUGAGGCUAUUCUUUCAACUCUUUCAACUCUGGCGGGGCCAUACGAUAUGGCGAAAUAAAAAUAGGCUGAGUGCCAGGAGCCAAAUCAAUACAGAAGUCAAUAUCCCUGUCGGGCGGCAUACCCGGUAGGUCUGAAGAAAAAACCUCGGGGAACUCCCGAACAAUAGGGACAGAGUCGAUAGAUGGGACCUCUGCCCUGGAGUCGCGAACAUACGCAAAAUACGCCUAAAUACCUCUUCUCGACCAUACAUCGAGCCUUGACAUACGAAAUAACACUACGGUUGGCAUGACCUGGGGUCUCUCUCCACCAAGUCUUGGCGGAACCCACAAGCCUGAAAGUGCAAAAAUGGACCUCAUUGGUCUCCACUAUCCCCAUAGUCCUGAGGAUCUCAUGACAACAAAACAGAAAAUCCUGUGGAUCCUCCGAUGAAGCACCACUGAAAGUGGUAGUUAAGAGCUUGGAGAACCGAUCAAGUCUCCACAAAGCAUCCGAAGACAUGGCCGACCCAUAUCCGGCCUAAGCUAUAAUACCUGUCUGAGCCGCCAUUGCGGGCUGAACCAAGGGAACCUGAGUCUGGGGAGAUACCUUCUCCAGAGUACGUGUAGCAGGAGCUUGAAGCCCUCCUCCAGCCUGAGAAGUGGCUGGUGCUAUUGGCAGCAAUCCCGCUUUGGCCACACUGUCUAUAAAGCAUGCUAUGUGGACAAAGGCAUCCUGAAGAUCCGAAGAAAACAUCACUCCUCCUGGGACCUGAGCUGAACCCACUGGAGCUGGUGGAGCUGGAACCUCCUCAUCAAAGUAAAUAUGAGGCUCCACCUCUGGAACUGCUACAUUGGGCUGAUCUCUGCCCCUGCCACCGCCUCGGCCCCUGCACGUGUUCUCGCCAUCUGUGAAAGAACAGAGUAGAACGACAAUCAAUACUUGAGAAAAUGAAUCGCAUGACAAGAAUGAACAAAGUGAAACUUUCCUAACUCAGUAGCCUCUGGGGGAUAAAUACAGAUGUCUCCAUACUGAUCCGUCGGACUCUACCGGGCUUGUCCGUGAGUUGUGAUACCCAAGUAACCCAGUGCUCUGAUACCAACUUGUCACGACCCGAAUUUACCCACCAUCGGGAAUCUUGAUGGCCUCUACUGUCAGAGCUAGGCAAGCCAACCUUUAUAAUCAUUUCCAGAAAAUUUAAGUCUAAAACAGGUUAAGUGCAAAAAUAAUUAGUUAAAACAUGCGGAAGACGUCAAAUAACAGUAACAAAAUCAAUAUGCGGAAGACUAAUAACCAAUCUCUACUCAGUAUCUGGUGUCACUGCUCACGGACUACUAAUAGAGUGCUAAAAAUAAUAGUCUGAAAGAAGUACAUAGCAUGUCUGUUUGGUACAGUUUAACAAACUGAAAGGGAAAGAUAGAGGAGACUCAGGGCCCGCGAAGGCCUGCGAACUACCUCAGAGCCUAUGGACUAAAGGAUCACUCCUGGUCUAAAGAUGCGGUCCGUAAACUGGGUCCUAACCUGUGCACAAAAAGGCACAGAAGCGUAGUAUCAGCACAACUGACCCCAUGUGCUGGUAAGUGUCCGACCUAACCUCGGCGAGGUAGUGACGAGGCUUACCGUACCUACCAUAAACAACCUGUACAGAUAUAUAAGAUAACAAAAAAGGAAAACAAGAAUUUAAACAACAAAAAGGGAGGGGACAUGCUGGGGGGAAUAACAGUUCAAUUAUAAUUUCUACAAUUAAGAGAUGGAACCGAAUAGAUAAUACUUAAACAAGAAAAACAAUGAAUCAACGGCUGCACGGCAUCACCUUUCGUGCUUUUACUCUCAAUCCUUACCAAAAUAGUCAUGUAUAAUGCACGGCAUCACCCUUCGUGCUUUUACUCUCAUUUCUCACCAAGAAUGUCAAAUACAAGGCACGACAUCACCUUUUCGUGGUUUUACUCUCGAUAAACUGUGAAGGCACCACCCAUCGUGCUUUUACUCUCGUGCUCACCCAAUCAAUAGCACCACUACAUCUCGUGGAGGAAAGCAAUAUAUACCACUCUAUCUUGUGGAGGAAAUCAAUAAAUACCACUCCAUCUUGUGGAGGAAAUUAAUAUAUACAACUCCAUGUUGAGGAGGAAAUCAAUGUAUACCACUUCAUCUUGUGGAGGAAAUCAAUAAGUACACGGCAUCACCCAUCGUGCUUUAUCGCUCCUCCACACCCAAACAAUAAUCACAAUUAAUGGGAAAAGGAGUAAACAAAAAGAUUAACCAUCCCGGCAAGGGAGAUCAAUGCAAUAACAAGUCCCGGAAAGGGAAACAAUUUAACAACAAGUCCCGGCAAUGGAAAAACACCAAAAACUCGUCUCUAGUUCAUUUACUUCUCAUCUUUCACUUUGCAGCUCUUAUAACAAGAAUUUAUCCCAAUUUUUCACUUCUUUCACAAUUCUAAUAAACGUGACAACACAGUCAUGCUCGACGCGAGCGCAUAGGUAACCGUCACCAUACAUAUACACCGACUCCAUAUAGCACAUAGAAAUUAACAACCUAAUCCUAUUCCCUCAAGCCAAAGUUAGAUCGAACACUUAUCCCGAAGGCUUCCAACUCAACUCACGCCUCUAGAAUAGCUUUACCCCUCGAAUUUGCUUCAAAGCUGGUCGAAUCUAACCAUAAUUUACUUAAAUGUAUUAACAAAUGCUAGUUAAAUCAAUGUGAAUGCAAAAGAAUGAGAUUCCCAAAGUUCUACUCAAAAAUUCCAAAAAUUCCCCCAAGCCCACGUGGUAAAAACAUGAGGUUCGAAUAAAAACCGGGUAACCCAUUCCCCAUGAGUUCAUAUAUGCAAUUUGUUUUGAAAUCGGACCCCAAAUUGAGGUUUAAAUCCCCAAUUUUAUGAAAACCUAGGUUCUACCACAAAUCCCCCAUUUUUAACCAUGAAAGUUUUGAUUUAAGGAUGAAAUCAUGUUUGAAUAUGAUAAAGAUUAAAAAAAACUAGUAAAAGUUGACAUACAUUUGGUUUGGGGACGAAAGGGUUCAAGAGGAAUCGUCUAUGGUGGUUUUGGGUUUUGAAAGAUAUGAAAAAAAUGAGGUUUAAAUUCGUUUAUGUAACAGUUACAUAGACGCAAAUCUCGCAAUUGCGAGAAAGAGUUCGAAAUUGCGAACUGAGCAGCAAGUAGGAGGAUCUCGUAUUUGCGAGAUAAGCGGUCGCAAAUGCGAACUAGCAAGGAACAAAGAGGGAUCGCAUUUGCGAGAUAAGACUUCGGAAUUGCGAAGUCUGGUUGCCAGGGGAAAUAUCGCAUUUGUGAUAUAAACAUCGCAUUUGCGAUGACAAAGCCAAACGGGGGAUGUUCGCAUUUGCGAACAUGUCUUCGCAAUUGCGAAGACUACAGACACCACCAGUGAAAUGCAACAGAAAAUGAGCCUAACACAUAUCCGGAACUCACCCGACCCCUCGGGGCUCCAACCCAAACAUGCACCCAACCUCAAAAACAUCCUACGGACUUACUCUUGCGAUCAAAUCGCCAAAAUAACAUCAAAAUCAAAGAAUCAACCUCCAAAACUCAUGAUUUUUCGUUUCGAAGUUCUAAACUUUCAAUUUUUUCCACUUUUAGUCCGAAAAAUGUCAAACGAUGUCUGUUUUCAACCAAAUAUUACAGAUAGCGCUUAACUCCCAUUUAAGACUUGUACCGGGCUUUUCAAACUUUUCCACUAUUAGUCCAAAGCACGUCAAACGACGUCCAAUUCCAAUGAAACUUCACAGAUAGUGGUUAACAAUUAUUUAUGAAUUGUACCGGACGUCAGAACCAAAAUACGAGCCCGAUACCACUAUUUUGAUCAAUUUCCGUUUUCAUUUUUCCUUAUGCAUAUCCAUAAAACAAUUUCACACAAAAAUUCCGAACUCUGGCCUGGGACCUUGAAUUUUGAUUCUGGGAAUAUGCCCGGGUCCCAAAUUCAAAUACGAACCCUCCGGGACCGUCACAUCACGGGUCUGUUUACCUAAAACAUUGACCAAAGUCAACCAUAGCAAUAUUGAAAAAUUCAUAGAUUUUAACACAGGAUUCAAAUAUGUUCACAUAAACAAUUUUCGGCUUCGCGCCCGGACUGCGCACGCAAAUCUAGGCAACCUAAUAAGAGGUUUUCAAGGCCUCAGAAACAGAAGGAAAGGGAGAAUUACAGUGAUGAACCUCUGGGUCGUCACAUCAAUCAUGUUAGUUUCCACUGUUUUCAUACUCAGUCAUGUUUAUUCCAUUUUAAGACUUAAAUGAUAUUUUGAAUGAUGCUUGGGAUGAGCAACACUGUUUUAUUAUUGCCCGAGGUGAUUGUGAGUAUUUUUGACUGAGUAAGGCUGAUGGCCUAUGUUGUGAGGAAACACUGAUACUGGUUUGAGGACGAGGGUCUGAGAUAUGUACGCCACGAGGUGGAUUGAUUGAUAUGAGGCCGAGGGCCUAGUUUUGAUUCCAUGAGAUGGCUUGUUAUUGCGCUUGGGCCGUAAGGGUCCCCUCCAGGAGUCUACAUAUCCCAAGUGAGUGUAGGUACCCAUUAUGAUGUGAGAUUGAGCCCGAGGGGCUAGUACUGUUAUCAGAUAUUGCCCAAGGGGCGGAUUUGUUGAUACUGUGCCCGAUUGAAGAAAUUUUAUUUGUUUACCUUACCUUAAUUGUCAGUCAAUUACAUGUUUAUUGUUGAAAAAAAGAUUUUUACUUGAUAUUUCACUGGUUUAAUGCUUUUAAAUGGUUUUACUGCUUCAUUAUAGAAUUACUUAUGCCUUACGCGUUUUCUUACUUUCAGUCGCUAUUUACAUUUGUUAAUCACUGAGUUGGAGUACUCACUUUACUCCCUGCACCCUAUGUACAGAUUCAGGCGUAGCUGGUUCCACUCCCGAGUGCUGAUCCAUUCCAACUUCAGGCAGUUAUUUGAGGAGUAUUUAGGUAGCUAUUGGUGUUCGCAGCCGAAGCUCCUCCCUAUCUAUCACGACCCGAAUUUUACCACCCUAGGGAGUCGUGAUGGAGCCUACUAAUUGGAGUUAGGAAAGUCAAAUUCAAUCACUUUUUCUCAACCACAUAAUCCUUUUUAAUAAUUAACAACAAUAAGAUAAAAGCAACUGAUUUAACUACACAAGUGGAAGACAUAUUACUAAUGCAAGCUGAAUAACAACGCGGAAGUUCAUCAUAACCUCUACCCAAAAUCUGGUGUCCCAUGACUCACGAACUACUAAUAUUUGCUAAAUAAAACAUCUGAAAAUACAUGAGAUACAUGAUGAAAUAAAGAUAGAGGAGAUACCGGGCCUGCGUACGCCUGCAAGGCUACCUCGGUGUCAUACUAGACUGAAGGCUCGCUUCCAGUCAACUUCUACUGCUUAAAAGCUGCUCCAGUAUCUGCACAUAAGUGCAGAGUGUCGCAUCAGAACAACCGACCCCAUGUGCUGGUAAAUGUCUGGCCUGACCCCGGCGGAGUAGUGACAAGGCUAGGACCAGACUCCAGAGAAACCUGUACAAUUACAUAUAUAUGGCGAAAGAAAAAACAGGAAAUAAAAAAGUAAAAUUGGGGAGGGGAGAACAUGCUCGGCGGAUAGCCAAAAUGCUCAAAAUUCUGAGAAUUGACAAAGAAACCAACUAUAAAGCUGCUAAUACGAAUAAGGAUAGAUAAAACAACUUUCACUUUAAAUGCUCAUCUCAUUGCAGGCGUGCAACCCGAUCCCAUUUCUGAAUUUAUCGUGGUAGGCAUACGACCCGAUUCCAUUUCUCAAUUACUCGUGGUAGGCGUACCACCCGCUCCCAUUUCAUCAUAACUCGUGGUAGGCGUACCAUCUGCUCCCAUUUCAAUCAAUAUCUCUUGGUAGGUGUACCACCAACUCCCAUUUCAUCAUAACUCGUGGUAGGCGUACCACCCGUUUCCAUUUCACCAAUAUCUUGUGGUAGGCGUACCACCCGAUCCCAUUUUAUCAAUAUCUUGUGGUAGACGUACCACCCAAUCCCAUUUCAAUUAAUAUCUUGUGGUAGGCAUACCACCCGAUCCCAUUUCAUCAAUAUCUUGUGGUAGGCGUACCACCCGAUCCCAUUUCAAUCAAUAUCUUGUAGUAGGCGUGCCACCCGAUUUCAUUUCAAUCAAUAUCUUGUGGUAGGCGUACCACCUGAUCCCAUUACUUCCAACACAAUACACAAAAUAAUACCGGCAAGGGAACAAGACAAUGUAAUAACUUCCCGGCACAGUUGAAACCAAUACUCAGUAUCAAGGAUCAUUAAUCAAGGCCUUUAUAGGAUAAAUUAAGAAUUUACAACUAUCAAUUUAAGACCCACGGUCAUGCUCGACAAAAACAUAUGGAUUAUCGUCACCAUGCCCAUACGUCGUACGCAGCACAAACAAGUAGCAAAUACUGUCACACCUUCUUUUUUGUUACACAGAUACUCCGAAGGAUGACGCGUAUAAUGGAGUUUUUCCAAUUAAAGUGACAUUAUCGAAAUGAGAUUAAUUAUUUAUUCAAGAGUCUCCACUUGGGAUAGGUUUGGCUUUUAGUGUCCAAGUCACCGGUUUAUUUGGAAUCCCAAAUCAAGGAAAUUCUUCGACUACCCAAUUGGAGUCUGCGAACCAAAAAUUCUUGAGUAAGAAAUUUAUUUAACCCAAGGGGAAGGUGUUAGGCACCCUCAGAUCCCGUGGUUCUAGCAUGUUCGCUUAAACUAUUAUAAGUGGCUAAUGAAAUUCUAAUUUGUUAUACAUGUUCAAACCUAUAAUACAGUUUUAAAAUAUGAACCACUUUUAAUGUAUAUUUUUUAGGAAAUUGCAAUGUCAUUAAAACACAUCGCGAAUCACGUCACAUAAAUGCGCACACAAAUUUAGACAUAUUUUAACUCCUUUGAGAUUUGGAUUUGGGUCACAUAAAUUCGCAUCCGAGUUUGGGAAGAUAUUUUUAUUAAUAAUUCGUGCCUACAGAAACUACGUCUUUAGAAAUUCGUGGAAGGCCGUGAAAUUUUCUAAACAGCACUUUCAAUUUUCUAUGUCUUUUAUUAAGUUAAGAAGCCUCGCAUAGCGUUUGAUUAGAUUAACGUGGCUCACUUUAUUUUAUACGGGAAUCCUAAAGCAUACUAAGUUUUCUAUCAUACUUGUGUCUAAAAUGUCCUAAUCAUUUAUACAUGGAUAAUACAUUUUGGAGAAGUUCAGUACUUGCAUUUUUUAGCCUCAUUCGUGGCUGAGUUGGGCUUCAUUUUCAGCCAGCCCAGGAAUGUGUAUUGUUAUACCACAACUGGCAGCUAUUGGGCCUCCACCAAUGAGUCCAUUAUAAGAGAAUAACAGUCAGCCCUUCUCUCAAUUAUACCAUAGUAAUGAAAACUGUAUACAUGAUUAUUAUAAAAUAUACCAAUCUAUAUUGAAGAAAACAAUUUGGGAUACUCAUCAUUCAAAGUAUACAUAUCCAGUUGUCAAAACUCUACCAUAACUUCAAGUUACAACACUAAAUAAAUCUGACUAGACUAACUUUAAAGGUAUUAGAAUUUAAACGAAUUAAAAGCACAGUCCUAAUAUAAGUCCAUAAUUAAUACGUGUUCGUGUUUAUUACAAUCACCAACAAUUCUAAGAAAUAAAUACAGUUAUAAUAGGGAAUUGAAACAAAAGUAUUAUUUUCCUCAUUAUCAACCACAAUCGCGAAUAUACAUAAGCAUUAUUUCUCAGCUUUUUAGUGAAGAUGAAUACCUGAAAUUCAGUAAAAUAGAGCCUAUGAGUAAGGUUAAGAGAGUAGCAAGCCAAAAACAACAGCCAAUCAACCAAUAAAAUCCCAGAAAACAACUUAGGAAAUUUGAGAGGGCAAAUGAUAACACUAAAUCCCUAAAGCAGCUCAAUAUCAAUCGGAAGAGAACAACACCAAAGGAUUUCUGAAGAAUGUAUAAGACACUAAUAUGUAUUUUAUAUAUUCUAAUUCACUAAGAACUUUUAAAGGAAAAAUCUCCUCGAAAAAUCUCAAAGUCCAGCCCCAUAAAUGUUCAGAUUGCUUAAUUUUUUUUUAUAGUUGAAGCCUUAGGUCAACACCAAUUUCAUUGUUUUCCUUUUAGUCCCUUACCCAUUUUUCAGUUUUACCUAAAUAGUCCUUAGUUUUCUGACUUGUGCCUCAAGUUUGAGGCAGAAAUNNNNNNNNNNNNNNNNNNNNNNNNNNNNNNNNNNNNNNNNNNNNNNNNNNNNNNNNNNNNNNNNNNNNNNNNNNNNNNNNNNNNNNNNNNNGCAAGUCUUUUGUUACAAGAUUUUUUAUGUUCAGAUACCCUUUAUACCCCUUUUCCUUUUUCUAAUUACUGACCUAAGGGUUUUAACCUUGGUUUCCAUUUGUUUGGUCAAAUCUGACCCUAGUUAGUUGCAUUCAGGUUAUGGGCCAAAUUCAAGGUUUGAACUACAAAAUCAAUUAUGUAGAAGUAAACACCCAAAAGAGUUUAAGAAUUGAUCAGUGCACCUCAUGGAUUCAAGCAAACAUCUUCAAUGUAAAUUCUACACUAUUCAGUAACAAGGGAUAAAACCAAAUUAUCAUAGCUUUCAGGAUUAUAUGAACAUUCAUGAAAACUAGACAUCUAAUAGGUGGGCAUGCAGGUUUUUUAAUAUGUCAAAAUGAACCAAAACAAUCAGAAAAGCAACCCCAAUCGACUAAGUGAAUAGAGGGAUUUGGACAUAUAUAUGUGAAAUUGGGCCUGGCUUCAAGGCCGUUGGAUGGCCUCUUGAUCAACGGUUGAGAUGAGUUUUCCCCAAAACGGUGUCGUGUUGGGGCACCCCUGAUGAGCUGGUUCGGAGACCAUCUUAUUCGGCUGGGCAUCUAGCAUUUUACAGGAUAAAAAGGAUUUGGGCCACCCAGGUCUGGCCCAAUUGUGGCCAGCCUGGGUGGUUUAUUAAGAGAUCUAUAUUUUCCUUUUGUUUUCUUAUUUAUUCUUAAUUCUUAAUUGCAUUUUAAAACUCCUAAUCAACUCAAAUCAAUCUAAUAACUACCUAUUAUGCAAAACAAAUAACAAUGCAACAAAUGAAAGUUAAACAAAACAUCUAUUUUAUUAUUUCCUAAUUGCAUUUUGAAAUUUCCUAAUUAACUUAAAUCAACCUAAUAACUACCUAUUAUGCAAAACAAAUAAAAAUGCAAAAAAUAAGAAUUAAAAAAACAAUUAAAAUGCCGGAAAUACCACUUAUUUUUUGAAUUUGGUAUUUGCGAAAAUAAACCUAUUUACCAAUUAAAAGAACGAUUAUGCAAUUUUGUAUAUUUUAUGAUUUUAAGCAUGCACUCAUGAAAACGCACUGACACGCAUAGUUAAAUCCUAAAAAUAAAUAUUUUAAAAGGAAAAAUCCUAAACUUGAGAGUCCUGCAGGAGUCGUCUUAACAGGAUAAAAAUCACAUGCUCACAAAUACGACUCAACUCCUAAUCCCUCAAGCUAGGGUUAAACCAAAUACUUACCUUGAUGCUUUGAACUCAACCCAAGCCUCAAUUAUACCUUUACCCCUCGAUUCCACCAUCAAUCCGCUUGAAUCUAGUCAUAAAUUACUUAAAUACAUUAAGAAAUGCUAAGUGAAUCAAUUUGAAUGAAUAAAAAUGGAUUUCCAAAAGUUUUGGCCAAAAACUCCAAAAUUGCCCCCGGGCCCACGUGGUCAAACCCGAGGUUCAAACCAAAACCCGGUUACCCAUUCCCCCAUGAAUCCAUAUCUAUGAUUUGUUUUGAAAUCGGACCUCAAAUUGAGGUUUAAAUCCCCAAUUUUUGAAGAAAAAUUAGGUUCUACCCAAAAUACCAAAUUUCCCCAUUAAAAUCUUUGAUUUGAAGUUGAAAUUAUAUUAAAAGAUGCUAAGGAGUGAAGAAAAUAGGUUACAAAUCACUUACCAAUCAUUUUGGAGAAGAAAAAUUGUUUGGGAAAUCACCCCUUAUAUUUUGGGUUUUUGAAAAGUGAAAAAUAACGGAGAUUCCCGUGUAUUUAUACCCUUUGAAGUCUCCCAGCGCGGACCGCUCAAAAAGGACGGCGGCCGCACUGGCCGACCUGAAGACCUGAAGGCCUGCGGAUCUUAGCCUUGCGUGGACUGCACAAAGCCGAACACGGCCGCACAGCACCCACCGCGGACCGCGCAAAGGCAACAGCAGCCGCCCUGGCUCUUCCGCGGCCGCACGCGUUUUUGCGUGGACCGUGCUGGAGGGUUCAUAUUCUGCAACAUUUUCGUGAACCUGCAAUACCUGGUCUUUUAAGCCUAAGGCAUCCCAAAACCUACUCAAAACUCACCCAAGGCACCGGGGCUCCAAACCAAACAUACACAUCUCCUCAAAACCAUCUUACGGACUUAUUCGUGCGAUCAAAUCGCAAAUAUAACAUCAUAAACAUUAAAUCGAGCCUCAGAGCUCAUGAUUCCUUCUAAAUUUCCAUAUAACAUCAAAUUCCCAUUUUAAGUUUGAAACACGUUAAACGACAUCCAUUUCAACUAAAUUUUACGGAAAGCGCUUAAACAAUAUACAAGACUUGAAUCGGGCAUCAGAACCAAAAUACGGGCCCGAUACCAUAAUCUUUUAAUCAAAUUUCAUUUCUAAUUUCCUUAAUUAUUUCCAGAAAACAAUUUCACACAACAAUUCCUUUCUCGGGCUUGGGACUUCAGAAUUUGAUUCCGGGCAUACGUCGAAGUCCUAUAUUUUCCUGCGAACCCUCCCAGACCGUCAAAUCAUCGGUCCGGGUCCGUUUACCCAAAAUGUUGAUCGAAGUAAAAGUUAUCCAAUUUAAUAUCAAACUUUAGCAUUUUUCUCACAAAAUUCAUAUUUAAGCUUUCUGGCUAUGCGCCUGGACUACGAAUGCAAUCGAGGCAACCCUAAAUGAGGUUUUCAAGGCCUCGGAGGCACAAAAUGAGUAAAGAAACCAAUGAUGACCCUUUCGGUCGUCACAUUGUCCACCUCUAAAACAACCGUGUUUCUCGAACGGACAAAAGAAAGAAGUACCUGAGUCGGGCAAAAGAUGGGGAUAAUGGCUCUGCAUAUCAGACUCGGACUCCCAGGUCGAUGCCUCAGGAGGCUGACCUCUCCACUAUACACGCACAGAAGGAAAACUCUUCAACUCAACUGUUGAACCUGCCAGUCUAGAAUAGCCACCGGCUCCUCCUCAUAUGACAGAUCUUUUUCCAACUCGACCGUCCUGAAAUCUAACACAUGGAAUGGAUCACCAUGAUACCUCCGAAGCAUGGAUACCUGAAAAACUCGAUGCACGGCUGAUAAGCUAGGCGGAAAUGCAAGCACCUCUCCCACUCAAUCGAGAAUCUCAAAUGGACCAAUGAACCUGGGGAUAAGCUUGCCUUUCUUUUCAAAUCUCAUCACGCCUUUUAUAGCCGAUAUUUAGAGCAAUACCCGCUCACAAACAAUAAAUGCCACAUCUCGAACCUUACAGUCUACAUAACUCUUUUGCCUAGAUUGAGCUGAACAAAGCCUAUCCUGAAUGAUCUUGACCUUGUCCAAGGCCUCCUGAACAAAAUCUUUACACAACAACCGAGCCUCUCCCGGCUCGAACCAUCCAACCGGAGACCGAUGCCGCCUACCAUAUAAAGCCUCAUAGGGAGCCAUCUGAAUGCUCGACUGGCAGCUGUUGUUGUAGGCAAAAUCUGCUAAGGGCAAAAACUGAUCCCAAGAACCUCCAAUGUCAAUGACACAUGCUCAGAGCAUAUCCUCUAAGAUCUGAAUAGUCCACUCGGAUUGACCCUCUGUCUGGGGAUGAAAUGGUGUACCCAACUCCACCUGAGUGCCCAACUCUCGCUGAACUGCUUUCCAGAAAUGCGAGGUAAAAUACUCCCCUGUCCGAAAUGAUAGAUACCGACACACCAUGAAGGCGAAGAAUUUCUCGGGUAUAAAUCUCAGCUAAUCUCUCGGAUGAAUAUGAGACUGCCACAGGAAGGAAAUGUACUGACUUGGUCAGCCUAUCAACAAUGACCCAAACUACGUCAAACCUCUUCCGGGUCAACGGAAGUCCACUAACAAAAUCCAUGAUAAUCCUCUCCCACUUCCACUCGGGAAGCUCAAUCCUCUUAUACAAUCCUCCAGGCCUAUGAUGCUCAUACUUAACCUACUGAUAGUUCAAACAUCGAGACACACACAACAAUAUCUUUCUUCAUCAUACACCACCAAUAAUGCUGCCGCAAAUCUUGAUACAUCUUCGUGUCACCCCGAUGAAUAGAAUACCGGGAACUAUGGGCCUUCGCUAAGAUCAAAUCUCGAAUGCCAUCGACAAUAGGCACGCAAAGUCACCCCUGCAAUCUCAAAAUACCAUCAUCACCUAAGGUCACCUUCUUGGAACCUCCACACUGCACCAUGUCUCUAAGGACACAUAAAUGAGGAUCAUCAAACUGCCAAUCAUGGAUACGCUCACGAAGAAUGAACGACCGUGAAAGCUAACACUCGGCUGGGCUCAGAAAUAUCCAACCUCACGAGUCAAUUGGCCAAGGCCUGAACAUCCAAAGCAAGUGGUCUCUGGCUGACCGGAAUGUAAGCAAGAUUGUCCAUACUGGCUGACUUCCUACUCAAUGUAUCAUCCACCACAUUGGCCUUCGUCGGGUGAAUAAAAUGGUGAUAUCAUAGUCCUUCAACAACUCCAACCACCUCAUCUACCUCAAAUUAAACUCCUUUUGCUUGAACAAGUACUAAAGACUCUUAUGGUCAGUGAACACUUUACAUGCCACGCCAUACAAAUAGUUCCUCCAAAUCUUUAAGGCGUGAACAAUGGUUGCCAACUCUAGAUCAUGAACCGGAUAGUUCUUCUCGUGAAUCUUCAUCCUGCAUCAACAUUGCACCAAGCUCCAUACGGGAAGCAUCACAAUAUACUUUGUAUGGCCCAGAUUCUGUGGGCAAAACCAACACCAGUGCCGUAGUCAAAGCUGUCUUGAGCUUCUGAAAGCUCACCUCACACUUGUCCGACCACCUGAACUGGGCACCCUUCAAGGUCAACCUUGUCAUCAAGCUGCAAUAGAUGAAAACCUCUCCACAAACCGAUGAUAGUAGCCCGCCAAUCCCAAGAAGCUCCGAAUCUCUAUAGCUGAUGCUGGUCUAGGACAGUUCUUGACUGCCUCAAUCUUCUUCGGGUCCACCUGAAUACCCUUUGGUGAUACAACGUGACCAAGAAAUGCUACUGAAUUCAGCCAAAACUCGCACUUGGAGAACGUGGCAUAUAACUGACUAUCCCUCAUAGUUUGAAGAACAACUCUAAGGUGCUGCUCGUGCUCCUCAUAGCUGUAGGAGUAUACCAAAAUAUCAUCAAUAAAGACUAUCAUGAACAUGUCCAAAUAAGGCGAACACUCGGUUCAUCAACUCCAUAAAUGUUUCUGGGGCAUUGGUCAACCCAAACGACAGGACCAAGAACUUAUAAUGCCCAUACCUAGUGCGAAAAGCUGUCUUACGGACAUCGGAUGCCCUAAUCCUCAACUGAUGGUAGCCAGACCACAAGUAAAUCUUUGAAAAUACCCUGUCACCUUGAAGCUGAUCGAACAAAUCAUCAAUCCUUGGCAGUGGAUACUUAUUCUUGAUUGUUACCUCGUUCAAUUUCUGGUAAUCAAUACACAUUCUCAUUGACACAUCCUUCUUCUUGAUGAACAACACCAGCACACCCCAAGGCGAUACAAUGGGCCUAAUAAAGCAUUCUCCAACAAGUCCUGCAACUGAUCUUUUCACUCUUCAAUUCAAGCGAGGCCAUACGAUAUGGCAGGAUAGAAACGGGCAGAGUGCUUGGAGCCACAUCAAUGAAAAAGUCAAUAUCCCUGUUGGGUGAUAUAACCGGUAUGUUUGAAGGGAACACAUAAGGGAACUCUCGAAAAAUGGGAAUAGAAUCAACAGAGGGGACCUCAGCAUUGGACUCACAUACAUAAGCAAAAUAAGCCAAACACCCCUUCUCGACCAUACGUGGAGCCUUCACAUAUGAGAUAACACUACGAGUGGAAUGACCAAGAGUCCCUCUCCCACUCUAAACGGGGCAAAUCUGGUAAUGUUAAGGUCACGGUCUUGGCAUGGCAAUCCAAGACAACAUUAUACGGGGACAACCAAUCCAUCCCUAAUAUGACAUCAAAGUAGACCAUGUCUAAAAGCAACAAAUCAACACAGGUCUCAAGACCCCCAAUCACCGCAACACAUGAAUAAUGAACUCGGUCAACCAUGAUAGAAUCACCCACCGGUGUAGACACAUAAACAUGAAUACUUAAUGCAUCACUAGGAAUGACUAGGUAUGGUGCAAAAUAAGAUGACAUAAACGAAUACGUAGACCAUGGAUCAAAUAGCACUGAAGCACCUCUAUCAAAAACCAGAAUAAUACCUGUAAUGACUGCAUCUGAACACUCAGCCUUUGGUCUGGUUGGAAGAGCAUAGCACUAGGGCUAGGCCCCACCUCCUUGAACCACAUCUCUAGGACGGCCAAAUUCUAGCUGGCCUCCACCCCUGGCGACCUAAGCUCCACCUCUAGCACCUCUAUCCUCGCCUCUAGCCGGCUGGGCAGGCUGUGGAGCAUCUGGUGCCUGUAACAUGGCAUAAGAACCCUGCUAUGAAGAACUGCUCGAAGCUCGAGGACAAUACCAAGUAAUGUGCCUCGUGUCUUCACAAGUAAAACAAGCUCUAGGCUACUGGGACUAGCGACCCUGGAAACUCUGAAGCGGUGGUGCACUGAUAGCUGCUGAUGAUGUACUAUAAGGCUGCUGAUUAGAAUAAUGUGGCUGAGAACCACGACCACUAGAAGUACUAUGAGAAACCUGGAGUGUUGACUGGAAGGGUCUAGGAGGAUGAACCCUAUUGUAUGAAUCUUUGCCUCCAGAUGAGGCACCACUGAAUCAUCCUGACUGACAGGGCCUCUUGUCUACUCAAUUACAACCCCCAUGUGGCAAUACCUUCUCUAUCCUCCGAGCCACAUUGGCCACCUCCUGAAAAGUGAUAUCACUUCCCAACCCGCUAGCCAUCUAGAGACAAAUAGGCUGGAUGAAUCCAUCAGUAAACCGUCUCACUCUCUCCCUCUCAGUGGGGAGUAUGACAAUAGCAUGGCGAGCCAACUCAAUAAACUUGGUCUCGUACUGGGUGACUCACAUGGGCCCCUAAUGAAGAUGCUCGAACUGCCUCAGAUAUGCUUCACACCGUGUGAUAGGGAAAUACUUCUCCAGUAAUGUAUGCAUGAACUGCUCCCAGGUCAAGGGUGGAGACCCUACUGGUCUAGCUAUACAGAAUUCCCUCCACCAAGUCUUGGCAGAUCCAGAUAGGCAAAAUAAAGCAAAAUCAACUCCAUUGGACUCAACAAUACCCAUGUUCCGAAGAACCUCGUGGCAGCUAUCCAAAUAAUCUUGAGGGUCCUGCUGAGUGCACCGCUAAAGGUGGUAGUGAAGAGCUUGGUGAACCUAUCCAACCUCUACUAGGCAUCUGCGGACAUAGCCGCUCUGCCGCUGGUCUGAACAACCACUCUCGUCUGGACUGCCAUAGCUGGCUAAACCACUGGAAUCUGAACCUGGAGAGCUACCUGCUUCGGAGUACGAGUAGCAGGAGUCUCGGCCCCUCCUCCAGCCUAAGAGAUGGCUGGUGCUACUGGAAGAAAAAAUGCUCGGGUAACACUCUCCAUGAUACCCACCAAUAAGACCAAAGCAUUCUGAAGGCCUAGGGUAGAAAUAAAACCCUCUGGAACAUGAAAUGGGGCCACCAGAAUUGCUGGAGCUAGGGCUGGAAACCUCCUUGUCGAAGUCAACCUGAGGCUCCGCCACUGGUGCUACUGCUCGAGGCUGAGCUCUGCCCCUACCUUGGCCUCUAUCAAGGCCUCGGCCUCACCCUCUUCCCCUAAUAGGGGCUUCCUGGGGCUCAGACAGCUGAUUAGAAGAUGAAGAAGUGCGUGUUCUCGCCAUCUCUGAAAGAAUAGAGUAGAUAGACAAUUAGUAUCUAUAACAGAACUGCACGAUAAAAAAGAACGAAUGUGAAGUUUCCCUAAAUCUAUAGCCUGGGAAAUAAAUAUAGGCGUCUCCGUACUGAUCCUUCAAACUCUACUAAGUUUGUCCGUGUGUUAUGAGACCUAUGUAACCUCGUGCUUUGAAACCAACUCAUAACGACCCAAAUUUUUCCAACCUCGGGAGUCGUGAUGACGCCUACUAAUGGGAGCUAGGCAAGCCAAAUUCAAUCACUUUUCCUCAACCACAUAAUCCUUUUUAAUAAUUAACAACAAUAAGAUAAAAGAAACUGAUUUAACUAAACAAGCAGAAGAUUUUAUAUUAAUGCAAGCUGAAUAACAACGUGGAAGUUCAUCAUAGCCUCUACACAAAAUCUGGUGUAACAUGACUCACGAACUACUAAGAUUUGCUAAAUAUAUUAUAUGAAAGAAAGUGUAAACUUUUUUUCUCUAAAUACAUGGGAUACAAGAUGAAAUAAGGAUAGAGGAGACGCCGGGCCAGCGGAUGCCUACAAGGCUACCUCGGUGUCUUACUGGACUGAAGCCUCGCUUCCAGGCUACUGCUACUACUCAAAAGCUGCUCUAGUAUCUGCACAUAAGUGCAGAGUGUAGCAUCCGCACAACCAACCCCAUGUGCUGGUAAGUGUCUGGCCUAACCCCAGCGAAGUAGUGAUGAGGCUAGGACAUACUCCAAAUAAACCUAUACAAUUACAUAAUAUAUAGCAAAAGAAAAAACAGGAAAUAAAUAACUAAAACUGGGCAUAAGAGAACAUGCUCUGGGGAUAGCAAAAAUGCACAAAAUUCUCAGAACUGACAAAGAAACCAACUAUAAAGCUGCUAACACGAAUACAGAUAGAUAAAACAACUUUUACUUUAAAUGCUCAUCUCGUGGCAGGCGUGCAACCUGAUCAAAU